Molecule: long non-coding RNA, 49536 nt
Filed under: Ananas comosus (pineapple)
Lineage: Eukaryota; Viridiplantae; Streptophyta; Magnoliopsida; Poales; Bromeliaceae
Description: long non-coding RNA (ACOM_LNC018662)
Source: RNAcentral
AAAUAGUAACUAUUUAUCUUCUCAUCUUUUAAUUUUGCAUGUUAGAAAUUGUUUGAGGGAGAAAAAAGAACUAAUAUUGAAGAGGAAAAAUUCAGGAACGUAUAAAUUAAAAGGACAUUGAUUAUAUGUCAUUGAAUAAAGAGAAGAAGAGGGGAAAAACAAUAAGUAAAGAUUAAUUUUAAAACACAAUUAGUAAGGAUGAAGAAAAAUUUGUCACAUGGCAAAAUUAUUAGCCACCGUUUGGUUGGGGGUUAAGGGGUGGAAUAACCCCUUAACCUUCAAUUUAUACCCAAACACCACUCUUUUGGGGUGGGGUUUACUGCGUUAGUAAACCCCACCCCAAAUUACUAACCCCACCCCAAACUUGGUUAGUGCGGUUUACUAACUCCACUACCCCUCCCAACUUUAACCCCGCACGUAUCCCGAGCCCUCAUCUUUUUCUUCUUUAUCAAUCAUUAACCCCACUCCCCCUCCCAACUUUAACCCCGCACGCAUCCCGAGCUCUCACAUUUUUCUUCUUUAUCAAUCAUUAUCUUUUUAUCCCACCUACUCCAACCAAACAUUUUUUUUCAUUAUUCUAGACUAACUCCAACCUCCAACCAAACACAAAAAAAAUUUAAUACCAUUUUAACCCUGAACUUAAUUCUAUCUCUGGAAUAGCUACUUUUUCUUAACCCCGAAUCAAACGGGGGCUAAAAAAUUUAUAUAGAUUAAUAAAUUUACAUUCUUAUAAAUUGAGAAGCAGAAAGACCUCUUCGCAUCGCACGGGCGAGUGCAUGGCCCACCCGAAAAAAGUGGCCGAGCUCACCUGCCCAUCUUGCAUGCGGUCCACAGGUGACGCCCACCUUGUGGACCGCUGGCUGUGAGGGAGCCUCUCUCUCUCUCUCUCUCUCUCUCUCUCUCUCUCUCUCUCUCUCUCCUUUUGAUUUAUAAUAAUUAAUAUAUAUAUAUAAUUAUAUCUUUUUUUAUGUAAAUAUGUUGUUAUAUAAUAUUUAUUUAUAAAUAUAUAAUAAUUUAUCUUGGGAAUCAAUAAAAAUAGUACUUUUAUUUCAAUUAAUUUUUUUAUUUUGCAGACUUAGGGACCAAAAAUAGUACUUGGUUUUCUUUUGCAUAUCAAUUUUGGUUCCUAAAAAUUAUAAAUUUUUCACUUUAGUCCCCAAAUAUAAAAAUUUAACUUUAAAUUUUAAAUUCAGAAUUAACUUAACAAUUAUAAAAAAAGAUUUUUAAUUAGUAAUUAGAAUUUUGAAUUAUAAUUUGAAUUCAAAAUUUAAAUUGAAUUUUAAAUUGAAUCUAAAUUUUGAUUUCAAACUUUAAAUUUUGUAAAUUUUGAUUUCAAACUUUAAUUUUUUUAUUUUGAUUUUGAUAUUUGAAUUUGCAUUCAAAAUUAAAAUUUUAAUUUAAGGUGAUAUUAAUAGUUAUAAUAAUUUAUUAUUGUAUUAUCUUUCCAUCGUAUCGAACUUAUUGAUUGGGAAUCCUUACAGGUUCGAACUGCUCUCUGCAUCACACGGAAGGUCUGCGAUAAAUAAUAUUUAAAAAUACUAAUGCAUAAUAAAAAAAAAAAAGUGAUGCUAAUAGUUAUAAUAAUUUACUGUUGUAUUAUCCCGGCCGAAUCGUACAGACCCCUUAGCUAGUACUAUAUUAUAUUUCAUAAAUUUUUUGUACUCGCUAUCUGACAAUUUUUUUUUUCAAAGACACCAUUCAUAUAAUUUCUACACUACAAAUAAUAAAUUCAUUAUUUUAUAUAAAAAUAGUAAAAAAAUACUGACAGCAUAUAUAUUUAAAUUUUUUUGACAUAAAAAUUACAAAGUACAUAAAAAUAAUUUAAAAAUAAUUUAAUAUAACUUGAUAGAGCUUUUACUGAGUCUAUCAUUGAAUUUUUUUUAAUUUUUUACUAUUUAACCAGUGCUUCUUAAUAAAAUUAUUAUAUUUUGUCCAAAAUAAUAAAUUUGUUAACAAUAAUAUAGAAUUUGAUGAAAAAAUUAGCUCAGUAAUAUCUAUGGUAAAAAAAAAUAAGGUAAAAAGCGAAAAUAAAUCUAAAAUACAGUGUAUUAUUUGACAAAAGUUAAUAACGCAAUAGUGUUUCCGAAAAAAAUUAGUAUAAUAUAGUAAACAAAAAUGAUACUAAAAUGCAGUAUAGUAGAGUAUAAUUAAGCAUUUAAUUUUUAAUUUUAUAUUUCUACUCCUUUAAUAUAAUAUUUUUUUUUAUAUAAAAUUAUGUAAACAAGAGCUAAUAAAAGCUGUGCCCUUCUUCCGGACCAGGCUGGUGGGCACAGCAGACCGGGCCGUGCCUGCCCUGCCAGGUUUUCUCUGUUUUGGAUCUUUUGGUAAGCAAGCAGACAAAUUAUUAUAGCAAACUAUUAAUUACUCCAUUUCUCAGAUGCAAUCUCAUUUAAUCCGAAGCUGCGGACUUAAACAACACGCCCGAGCUUGGAUAUAUUACAAAUUAAGACAGCAAAAAUGAAGCAGAGAUUUAAGAGAGAGAGAGAGGAUAAAAUAAGGUACAUGCUACUUGGCGCACAAUAUCCCAAAUAUAUUAUUAAUAUAUUGACAUACAGAUAUAAAAGAAUAGUGUUUGCGAUUUAAUAAUUAAUAUUUAGAGUGUAAUAAUGAUAUUGUCAUGUUAUUAAUAGUACUGUAAGUGCCUUUUAGAUACAUGUAGUAGAACUCUAAAAAAAAAAAAAAUCUACAAAUACUAUUCAUGUGAUUUUCACACUUUUUCACUUUAGUAUAAUGUGGUUUAAAGUGUAUUAAUUUAGUGUCUCGUGGUUUUAUUUUUGUUUUUUUAUUAUUGAUUUUAUUAAUUUUUUUCAUUAAAUCAGUGACAAAGUUAAAAUUAAAAAUGUACUAAAUGAAUAUUCGAUAAACCGUAUCUAAAUUCUUUUUUAUAUAAUUUAACAAAAUAUUAACGAAAAACUGCUGAAAAGAUAAAAAUGAAUCCCGCUUACAUCCCACUCAUCUUAACAUGAUGCCUUUCAUUAGUCACAUCAAUAUUCACUUAGGAUGAAAAAGAAUUAUAGAAAAGAUCUAAAAUAUUGAGUCGUAGCGUCUUCAACUAAUCAAAUUGCUUCAACUAAUCAAAUUGCUUUUCUAGGAUUCAUUAAUUCCAUGUGACUAUAAAAAAAAAAAAUUUAUUAUAUUUUUUUUGAAAAAAAAAAGUGUUUGGCUGUAUAUUUUUUAAAAAUGUAUGCCUAGUAUUACUCAGACAAUUAAUAUUAAUAUAAUAAUAUUAAAAUUAUUUUGGCUUUACAUGUGUACUAAUAAUGAGCCACGAGGCGAGAGAUUCUCAUUGAAUCCCGGAUCUUUUGAGCAAGUGGAUGCCAUCGCGGUAUCAGUCAACGCCCGCAAAAUCAAAAUCGAACACCUACUGCGAGCAUUUGCGUGCGCCCCUCUUCAAAUAGGAAGCUGAUUAAUUGCGCCCCCCAUUCUUUCACACACGGGGCCCUCGCCUUCUUCGUCGCACUCGCACCAAUCUCGUUGCGACGAUGACCUGGCGAAAGCACGAAUCCAAUGGCAUCUCCCGAUCCAUCACCACCGUCGAAGCCCCUCUCGACUCCGGCGGCGCCCGCCUCCACGAGCUCGGCUACAAACAGGAGCUCAAGCGCGACCUCUCGUAACCACCACCACACAUAGUAGCUUUUUUAAAAAAAAAUUUAAUUUUUUUUCUUUUUGUUUUUGGGAUUCAUUAUUGGAAUUGGGAGGAUGUUGUGGCUGCAGGGUGUUGUCGAAUUUUGCCUUCUCGUUCUCGAUCAUCUCCGUGCUGACGGGGAUAACGACGCUGUACAACACGGGGCUGAGCUUCGGGGGGCCGGCGACGAUGACGUUCGGGUGGUUCGUGGCCGGCUUCUUCACGAUGGCGGUCGGCCUGGCCAUGGCGGAGAUCUGCUCGUCCUUCCCCACGUCCGGCGGCCUCUACUACUGGAGCGCCAGGCUCUCCGGCCACCGCUGGGCGCCCUUCGCUUCCUGGAUAACCGGAUGGUAUUCCUACAAUCUAUUAUUAUUGUUAAUUUAAUUCAUAAAAUUUGAUUAUUCUUUCUUUUCUUUUUUCUUUUUUUUUUCCUACCUAAAAAUUAAGAAUUUUAGUGAAAAAAAAAAGGUGAUAAUGGUGUUGACACUAUGUACUUUCUAAGUUGGGAAGGCCCUUAGAUCAGGGUGGGGUCGGCGAUCCAAGUGUUCUCAGCAUUUUGAGAACAUUUGGAGCAUCAAUUAGGUGCUAGGAAUUCAAUCUGGGUGGGGUCAUUGACAAGGAGUUGUUCCUUGUCGCUGAUCAAUUUGUGGGUGGAACUGAAGUUCAAGGAUGAAAUUUGGGUGAUUAAACCGCCCUCAUUUGAUCUUAAUCAUGUUUGCCAUUCAAUUUUGCAGCCAAUAAGAAAUUAGUACGGUUAUCUUCAAGUCGAAUUGAAUAGCCUAUUAAUGAUACUAUAUGUAGUUAUUCUUGAAGAUAAUAUAUUUAGUAUAGCUGGCAAAAUAAAGAGUCACAGUACCUAUUGUUCACAGUAUUGAUUAAAUUAUUUAAUGCUAUUAUUUAAUACUAUCAAUAGCACCAAGCUAUUUGUGCUAUUAGUUUUUUAGCCCUUGUAUUGAGAAAUGUGUGGUUAGGAUGAUGUCGGCCCUCUAGGGUUGAGUGAGUGGUUGGUUGAAUAGUAUAAUCUAACGGGUAAAAAUAACCAAAUGGUUAAAUUUAACGGUGGAAAACUCGAUAGCACUAAAUUCUUGGUGCUAUCGAUAGUAUCCCAGCUGGACUCAUAUAGAACUAGGCUGGAAUAUAUAUAUACAUACAUAUAUAUAUAUAUAUAUAUACAUAUAUAUAUAUAUAUAUAUAUACACACACACACAUACACCAUGAUUGGUUGGUUGACUCAAGGAUUACUAUCCUAAAUAAUAAAUAGAUAAGCUAGGAUAGAAAGCAUAUGUUUGUAGGUUUUUAUUAUUGGCUAAAGCAUGUCCAACUUUCUGCUCCGUGAGACCCAGAAGAUCAACUAACAAGUUGAGUUGGGUUGAGCCCAAUAAAUUGAGUGAGCCUGGACCUAACGGCAAUAGACUCAACAACAAACCUAACAUCCAGAUGGAUUGAGUUAGGACGAAACACAUGAAACGCUGUGCCUAGUACGAUGAGUGUGCCCUUUCUAUCGGCACGUUGUUUUGAAAUAGUUGGUUAACGCUUACGAUCCACAAUAUUCCAUUUAGGAAAUUCAACACACCCACCCUGCAUGUGAUGUAUGAAGCGAAGGCAAAUGUUGUCAAUCCGUGCUAAAUAUAUCUUUCCCUUAACCUUCUAUUUCUUCUUGUUGAUAUAUGGUGCAAUCAUUUUUGCAUGCUAUUAAGUAAAAUAGUUAAAAGUUAGCGUAAAAUGGCCAUGUUUAAAGUUCAGUUAUAAGCUCACUGCUUGGAAAAUGAUUGUUGAAGAUUCUGAGACAGGAGAUUAAUGAUGGUAAAAAUAUACAUGAGUGUGAAAUGCUUGGAAACAAAGAUUUGCAUGUAGGUUAAGCUGCGCCGUUCGUUGUUACAAAGGCCAGCGGCAAGUGAUGCUUUAAAUUGAAAUUAAAGCUCUACAGCAUGCUAUUCAUUAUCUUCAGCAAACUGCUGUCAUUUUUUCCAUUAAAUUAUGAUGUGAUUUGACAACAAUUUUCUUUCUUGGUUCUGCGAGAUUAGUAUUUAAACCAAACAUAGUAUUAUUUUUCGAGUCAUGUUUAACAAAGUCUUACCCUCAUGAACUCUUAAAUACUAAAUAUACGAAUUAUUAGUUGGCGAUUGAUUUGCAGAAACUUGGAUUUUGUUUCCCAAUGCAUAAGAGCGAGCUUCCCAAUAGCUAGAAAGUUCGUAACUGCUGGUUAAUAAUUCUUAAGAUGUAAUUUCUGAUCUACAAAGUAAAAAAUUUCUUCUCCGUUGCAGGUUUAACAUUGCUGGUCAGGUAAUUGACAAGUCACAAUUUUGAAGCUAAAGGACUUCUUUGCCUGAAGUAUGACUCUCUGGAGUUGAAAUAUCCUUUGUUAUAUAUAUAAGCUGUUAAAGCAGUUCUAUUUUGCAGUGGGCUGUCACGACCAGUGUAGAUUACUCAUUAGCACAACUAAUUCAAGUGAUUAUUCUAUUAAGCACCGGCGGAAACAACGGUGGAGGAUACCUAGCUUCUAAAUAUGUAGUUAUUGGAUUCCAUGGAGGGAUUUUGCUUAUUCAUGCCAUCAUUAAUAGUCUUUCCAUUACUUGGUUGUCCUUUUUCGGACAGCUCGCUGCUGCAUGGAAUGUCUUAGGUGACUCUCUCUCUCUCUCUCUCUCUCUCUCUCUCUCUCUCUCUCUCUCUUAUUUAGACUCAGACUCCAACUUGUUUCUUGCAGGGGUGUUUGUUCUUAUGAUUCUUAUACCAACUGUUGCCACUGAGAGGGCGAGUGCCAAAUUUGUGUUUACUCAUUUUAACACAGACAAUGGCGCAGGAAUCCACAGCAAACUUUACAUAUUUGUUUUGGGACUCUUAAUGAGUCAAUAUACAUUGACGGGAUAUGAUGCAUCUGCUCACAUGGUACAAGAUCUCUUCGGCUUCUUAUUAUCUGCUACUUUUAAUGUACUACUAAGUUUGGUGCAUUUCUCAACUGACAUAGGGAUUCCUUUUGUGCAGCAUUGUUACAACGAACUAACUUGUAUCAUAUUUAACAUUUCUUUCUUUUAAAUUGUAUCAAUUGUAUGUUAUGGGGACAAAAUGGAUUCUUUGUAACUUCGAAGUGUAGGUCUUCUCAUGAAAUCCUCCCUAAUGUGUUUUUUUCAGAUAACUUUUGCUUUAUUUAUAUCCUCUAGAAAUCUGUUUAUUGGUUGAGUUCUGUCAUGAUAUUUUGAAGCAUGAUAAUCACAUAGAGGUUGUACAGAAACUCAUAAAUCAACGUCAUUCACUGCAACUGUAACUCUUAAAAGAAUUCCUUUGAUGUGUUCUGUAUUUUCUGUGAAAGGUCAAUUCUGCAAUCUCCAAUUCUUUGAUGUAUGAUAAGAGAAGUUUUGUAUGAAAAUCGGAUCGCUAUGUGCUGCCAAAAAUUAGUACUUAUGAUUUGAAUCCUCUGCUCCAAUUACAAUGAAUUUGGAUCAUUUUGUGCUUCCACUAUUUGUUCUCUUAUAUUUUAUUACUUACAAUUUUGAGAUAGUAUUCGAAAAUGACCUCUAAAAUUUCUCUUGUUUCAGACAGAGGAAACUAAAAGCGCGGACAUAAAUGGUCCUAGAGGAAUAAUUAGUGCCAUUGGCAUAUCGAUCAUCGUUGGCUGGGGUUACUUACUCGGCGUCAGUUUUGCUGUAACAAACAUUCCAUAUCUUUUAAGCAAGGACAAUGAUGCUGGAGGAUAUGCGAUUGCUGAAGUAUUUUAUCUCGCCUUCAAAAGUAGGUACGGAAAUGGCAUCGGUGGCAUUAUUUGUUUGGGAAUCGUUGCCAUUGCCAUAUUCUUUUGUGGCAUGAGUUCCGUCACUAGCAACUCUAGGUAAAGCUAUCUCUUUGCUUACUGAUCUCUGGCACAUUGCCUCCCCUUCGUAGUCGUUGAAAGAGCGAAUUCUUCAGUAGAUUUGAUUCUACCGUUUGAUUUUGAUUUUCGUCCUAGCGAACUCUUAUAUAUUUUUACAAAUUUAGGAUGGCGUAUGCAUUCUCGAGAGAUGGAGCAAUGCCACUAUCGUCGUUGUGGCAUCAAGUUAACCGGCAGGAUGUCCCAAUCAAUGCUGUUUGGCUCUCUGCAUUUAUUUCUUUUUGUAUGGCUCUGCCGGUAAUGAAUAUCUUCUCUCCAUGUCCCCAUUCCCCAAAACCACUGAAGUACUUAUUUUCUGAUGCAUAUGACUUGCAUCUUACCCGCAUGCAAUCCCGAUAUAACAAUGGCCAUGAUGCUGCUUCCCAAUAGCUUAGUAUUUCUAGUUAUGUCACGAAGUUACGCCAUUUAGUCAUUAUUUGAAUUUAAUUCUGCUGCCCCGAAGCAAACAAGCACGUAGUCAAGCAUCUCUGUCCUUUACAAUCGAUUCGUCUGUUUUCUGCUUCUUGUUGCGAACAUCUUAUGCCUUAUAUGAUUACUUCAUGGCCUACUUAGUAGUAAGAUUUCUAACGAUAAAAUGAUAAGACAAAGGUUACUUUCUGACAACAUCGGAGGAUUGCAUGACAUCCAGCAUUCACAUUUUAGUUGCAACUGCAUACUUAGGUCCAUAAGUUUCCGUACUUUUUCUGCUGUCUGUUGUGCAUCAACUGUUCUGCAUACUAAUCUGCAUAACAAUUGCAGUCUCUUGGAAGUCUAGUAGCAUUCCAGGCGAUGGUGUCAAUAGCUACAAUUGGACUCUACAUUGCGUACGCGCUUCCUAUCUUUUUUCGGGUGACUCUAGCUCGUAAUACCUUCGUCCCAGGCCCGUUCAACCUUGGCCGCUAUGGAAUCCUCGUGGGUUGGGUCGCCGUUCUUUGGGUUGCGACUAUCACAGUUCUCUUCUCGCUGCCCGUUGCUUAUCCUAUUGCGAAGGACACCCUCAACUACACACCUGUGGCCGUUGGCGGCCUGUUUGUUCUCAUUGUUUCGUCUUGGAUUUUAAGCGCAAGGCACUGGUUCAGAGGUCCUAUAACAAACAUUGAUACUUAAGGGAUUAAUCGCGACAUUGUGUAUCAAUAGUUCACAGCAAAAUUUAUAACUUUCUCAAUUGCUCUCUGCUGUAGUGUUUCUAUUUGUGGUGAAUUGUAUAGUAGUGCUUUUCUAUUGUGAAGAAGAACCAAGUCGGCGAGAAUUCAACUAGUUCUUAAUCUUAAUGGUAAUAUAUACUAUUCUUAGCCAAAUUUCCAUGAGACUGAUCUUUCGGAUAACAUAGGAUGAGGCAUAAAGUAACAUGGUCUAACAACGGAUCAAAGCCAUACUAGUGCCUCUUUUUCCUAGCUCUCCUGUUGGUGCGUGUUAUAUUGUUAACUUUGUUUACAUGAUGCAUCAACUGUAGGGCUGUUAACAAGCAGAAGACAAGUGAGCUGGGACCAGCUAAACAUUGGCUUAAAAGUAUUAAGGACAGGUUCUUGUUUGGCUCGAGCUCGUGACUAGCUGGAAAAGCUUAGCUCGUGAUAGCUCGCACUUUAACGAGCCAGCUCGUGUUCAGCUUGUUAACUCGAUUAGUUCACCAAGCCAAACGAGCUUGUUUAUAGCUUGGAUUGUUAACGACUCAAAAUUUAAAUCUCAAAUUAAUUAAUUUAUAACAUUAUUAUUUUUUGCAUAAAAAAUUUAAUGUGCCAUUAGGGUUUGUGGCUUAUAAAUGAAAUAGAAGCCUAAAAUUCUAUCCGUUAGAUCUUAAUCUAACGGUUGUAAUUUAUAAACUAGAUGGACCUCUUUACAUUUGAGUUGGGCCAAAUCCAAACAGUAGAAAUUUGUAUUUUGCAUCUACAAUUGUAUAUAACAUUAAUUGCUUAUAUAUCCCUAAAAAUUUUGACUUUCUUUUUAUCCUUCUUAGAAGGCUAAUAGUAAAAAUACCUUUUUAAAAUUUCAAAGUCUUUCAAAUAUAUUCCUGAAGUUAAAUUUUGUUAGUGAAUUGCUACGAACAGUCGUUAUCGAUGUGAAAUUAUCAUUUUUUGUCCUUUCAAAUAUAUUCUUCCACUGUCACCAAUUUCUUAUUUACCCUCAAGUUAGAUGCAAAAAAAAAGUACUUUGAUUUUUUAUUUUUUCAAAUAUAUGCUUUUGUCGUCACUAAUUUUUCUUAUUUUCCUUUAAUUUGGGGACAAAAUAGGUAUUUUAACUAUUUUUUAAUUAUGGUAAAAAUUUAACUCUGGCUCAACCUGAGAUGACUUAACGGGCACUAACAGAAGGGAUAGUUUUAAAUAACUGAAAAUUAUAUGAAGGGUAUAUUUGAAACAAAGGAAAAUGAGAGGUAAAUAAGGUAUUUGAAAAGUUUUGAGAGAUAUAUAAGUAAUUAUCCCAAAUAUAAUAUAUAAUAUAUAAUAAUAUAAUAUAAAAAAUAUAUAAAUAUAAAGUAUAUAUAUUCGAAUUAUAUCGAGUCAAACAAGAACAAACUGAUCUCAACUUGUAUUCCGCUCGUUUAUUAAGUGAGCAAUUUGAUAUUAAGCUCCUUUUGAGUUGAAUACGACCUGGUUCGCGAACAGCGAACUAAAUUGUCAGCUCUAACAACCAUUUAGGUAACAUGGUAAGAUGCUCAAGCUGCACCUACCCUUUUUUCUUCUUCUUUUUUGUUCUGCUUUUCACGGAAGCUUGGUUCACUGAUCUGUUUUAAUCUCUCACAUCAAGGAGACGUGUGAUUCACAUUAUGCAAGUAAAAAAUGAAGCCAAAUUCCAUGCAUUUCUCGUACCAGAGUUUAACGUCUAAAUAUACAGCGUCUUAUCUUAAGAAUCUCUCUUUUCUUACUCGGUAGCGUGUCCAUUACAACAAGGAACUAGGACAUUCACCAUAAGUAGGGCUGGCAAACGAGCGAGCCGGCUCGCGUUCGACUCGUGUUCGGCUCGAUAUUCGGCUCGCUCGAGCUCGACUCGAAAUUAAAUGAGCCGAGCUUGAACAAAAUAAAAGGCUCGAAAUUCAUUUCAAGCCGAGCUUGAGUAUUGCUCGGCUCGUUCGAAUUAGGCUCGAAAAGCUCGAAAGCUCGAAUAUAUAUAUAUACAUAUAAAAUGUAUUUUAAUUAUAAAUAGGCUUUAAUUUAAUUUGGGCUAUUAUUGUUGGCCCAUAAAAUAAAUCCAACAAGUACAACCGUGCAAUUGAGCCCAACUCUAAAUUUACAUAACACACUCUCUCUUUCAGACUUUUACUGUUGCACAUAACCCUAAAACAUGAUAACAUUCAAAUUUUCAAAUCUCUAAUUUUUUUUCCUCUCUCUUUCUCUCUCUCUCUCUGACCCUCACCCAGUCAUGCAGUCACCCUAGUUCACAUUUCUUACAAUUAUUUUGUAUUUUGAACUAUUGAACAUGUUGCAUCAGAUUAUAGGUAAUGUUUUAUAAAAAUUAAACUAUUGAUUAUAUAAUAUCGAGAAUUUCAAUCGGCUCGUUUAGAGCUCGAGCUCGGCUCGACUCAAAAUUAGGCUCGCUCGAGCUCGGCUCGAAUUAAUUUCAAGCCGAGCUUGAGCCUAGAUUUAGGCUCGAAAUUAAUUUCAAGCCAAAUUUGAGCUGACAUAAGCUCGCUCGAGCUUGGCUCGUUUCCACCCCUAACCAUAAGCAACAAAAAAAUCAUGAACCGACCGUCCCUAGAGCAAGUGGCAAAGGAUUUGGUGGUUGGUACCCGAGACACAAGUUUGAAUUCUAGUUGAUUCACAUUUCUAGCUAAGUUUAUUUCUAAAUGAAAUAAACGAAUCGGGUAGCGUGCUACCUAUCUCUCAAACAAAAAAAAACAAAAAAAAACAAAAAUAAAAAAAAUCAUGGAGAUGUUCUACAAAACAAAACAAAAACAAAAACAAAAAGAACACUAGCACCGGAAACGAAAAAGAAAAACACUAGCACUGGAAAAGAAAAUUUUUUAUUUGUGUCCUAUCUCAUAACGAUGCAUAGUUUUCGGAUAGACAAAUUCGUAUCAUUGUAAUUUCUAAUAUUUUUAGUAACUUUGGGUCAUGUUCUAUCAUUUUUUUAACAGAUAGUAUGCUACUUCAUUCAUUAAGAAAAUGAAUUUAGCUAUAUAGAAUGAGCCAGCUAAGGUCUCAAAACUUGUGAAAAAUCAAGAAAAAAAGAACAGAAAACAGCAAAAAAGAAAGCUAAAAAAAAUCUAAAAAAAAAAGAACCAGAGUAUAAGCAGAAAUAAAUGGUAAGAACAAAGAGUGUAACAAAUGCCCAAGUCAUCAUGCUGUACAAAACUGUCAUGUUCUAUCAUUAUGGAAUCUUAUUAUUACGUCAUGUUCAAAACUAGAGAUGUCAACGGGUCGGAUUCGGAGCGGAUUUUUAAAAAUCCAAAUCCGAACCCGAUUCCAAACCAGAGAUCCGAACCCGAAUCCGAACCCGACGGAUUUUAAAAAUCCAUAUCCAAACCCGAACCCGACCAAAAAUUCGAAACCCGAACCCAAAAUAAUUAUUUCUUUUUUCAAUAUUUCAAAAUAUAUUAUAUUAAAUCUAAAUUUUUAAAAUACAAAUUCAAAUAUAACAUCAAAUUUGUAUAUAUAUAUUAUAUAUAAUACAAAAUAAAUUCGGGUUCGGGUUGGGCUCAGGUCGGGUUCGGGUUUGGGUCGGGUACAAUCAAAAUUCAUAUCCAAAUUCAUAUCCAUAUCAAUAUUCAUCGGAUAUAUCCGUUUCAUUUUGGUUCGAGUUCGGAUAAAAUUUCGGAUAUCCAUACCCAUCGACAUCCCUAUUCAAAACUACUGCUCUUUCUUCCUGCCAUAAUGUUUUUGCUGAAAACAAUCACUCGGGCAUCUUAGAGGAUGAUGAAACUAGGAUCAAACUCUGGACUUCUUGGCAAACCAAGUUAUAUAUCAUAGGUACUCGGUAGAGUUUUCGAUUAGGGAUCUAUCACUAUGAAUUUGUUAGAAAUGUUUGGACGAGCGACACAACGAAUUUUUAAUAGACGUAGAUAUGGUUGAGAAUCCUAUUUCUCUAGUGAUGUUCAGAAAUUAAAAUGAAAAGAACAAAAUCUGAAAUAUUCACAGAAAUCAACAACCACAAGACACUACAGGAUACAUAUAUGUUGAUUUUGCUUAGUGAAAAACAAAGAGAGAUGUUAUUCGUACACUCAAAAGUAAAGUAUAAAUUGUACACCCACUCAUCAAAAACUAUAAGUUUUUUAAAAAAUUUAAAUUUUUUUAAAAAAUUAGUGAGACAUAGUUAUUUUUUAAGUGUGUAUAUAUUAUAUAAACAGUAGUGCUCAAAAUCAAAAGAGUAACACUCCAAUGCAUGUAUAUCUAGUCAAUAAUCUAAUGAAAUGCGGUCGCUUUUGUGGUUGAUGAAUCCCAUAACUACAUUGAUAACACCUACAAUUAAACACAGGCACCUAAUAUUUGUUUAAGCGUCACAUAGAGGUGCGAUCUCAAACGCUCGAUCCCAUAUCACACCCAUUCCACUCCGCUCAUAACACGGAACAUCUCUCUCCUCCAAUCACUGUUUGCCGCGUAGCCGCUGUAACGUGGGGCCCACACCUACUAUUUUUACCUGCACUCGGUGUCCGGCGCGAGCCGUGCGCCCUGCUCCCAUCGCCCUCCGUUCCGCAUCCUGCUUAAAUCCUCACCGCUCUGAAGUUACAGCUUUUCUGACAUGGUGCACAGGGUGCAGAGGUUUUUCUUUCGGGGGGGUGGGGGGCGAAAUGGACCUGACGUGAAGGUGAGGGGGCGAAGUUAGUUAAAGGUUUGAAGAGGAAGCAAACAUAAUAGCUAUCAACCCCAUGCACAUACACAUUUAUCUUAUCUUUUAUAAGAUGUGCAUAGUUGGUUAGCUCACGAAGGUCUAAGCCUUUGAAGCAAAGCAACAACUCCACUUCUAACCACAGCCCCCUUUGGACCUCGCCAAUCACCUUUCGACCGGGCCCAUAUAAAAUAUAUAUAGCAAAGAACACAACUUCGUUUUUGUGUGCUUGCUAUCGUAUGAAAAAUUAAUUUGAAAAGAAAUAGUCCGAGAUUAAUUUCGAUCAAUACCUUUUCUUACGUGCGUAGUAGAUAUCAGUUGCAUUAUGUCCUAUAUAUAAACUAAAAAGUAAAAAAUUCAAAGCCUUGUAAAACGAAAAAGACUUAGAACCAGCUCUGAUAUCAUGUUAUUUGAAAGAUCAAUCUUAGUACUUAUCAAAUAAGUAAGUUUCCAAUGUGUUUUAGCCUAGCUGUGUAUAACGGACAUUCUUUACCAAAACCAGACUUCCAAAGUUGUGCAAGAAAAUUUUGUCAAAUAAUGUAUAGUUUUCGGCUUGAAUUCACCCUUAAAUUGAAUCCGUUGACUUUUGAGUAGUUACUUAAUUGGGAGGUCUUUUGAGGUCACAGUCAAACGACAAGGGUCUUUUAAGUUGCAAGGUUAAUUAUACUAGGUUAUUUUUUCGGUCCGAAUACAUCGGUUUCUAUAAAAGAUUUAUGAACUAUCUCUCAAAUUACAGUAUGUUAAAUUUUAAUACAUAAGUUUGAGUUUAAUUAGAACUAUGAUUUAACAAACUCUUUUCGUAGAUUUUCGUAGGAUUUGGCAUGUAUGAUAUCAAGUCCAACCAAGCCGAGUUUCGGGCAUCCUAUUUAACCUUAGUCUUGGUUCGGACACAGUAUAGUACUAACCUGUCAAUUUUAAAUAAAGAAAAAGAAAAUAACUUAGGAGAUCAUAUAAUGCAUUUUCGGUCAUAACAAUCCUAUUCCUGUACUAAUUAAUGUGGGAUGGGUUAUCAAACAAAAAUUUGAUGAGACAGCUCCAACAUAAGAUUGCUUAAUCAAUUGCACGUGAAAAUUAUAAUGAUCUGAUAAUAAAUAGUGCAAACACAAUAAACCUACAGGAUUUUACUUUUUGCACUGUGAAAAUAGUCGAGAUCUAAGUUAUGAUUUGCUACUCUCUGUCUCUCCCACUCCUAUCCAAAGGUGUAAUUUCAUCUUUCCCCUUUGGGAAAGGUUCCUUCAAGAUCAUAAAUAGAAUAGCCAAUUUCCAAAGUAUUAACUAGUUGGAUUUGGUCUUAUCAUGAAUUAAUGGCUUGUUACUAUUGAAAGGUAAAGUUGAUGGGAGCAGGUCAACAUCGUAUAGUUUUCUUAAUGUCUCUUUUACGAGUGACUAUUUAUCCAUAAAUUUACUAAUAAGAACUAGCACAUAUCCAUUUCUACGAGUUUCCCAAUUUAAGUUUUGUUAAAAUUAAUAACUUUAAUGUGACAAUAAUUGUUAAAAAAAGUUUAAAGAAUUAAUAAAUAGAUAGUAAUUAAAUGAGGACAAAAUCCUGAGUAAUGAGCUUUUUAUAAAUUAAUUAGUAGUUUAUAAAAAAAAUUUAGAAUAAAUUAUCAUAAAAUACACACUCAGCAAAAGUAUUUUUAAAUUAGGAUAAACUAUCAUAAGACGCAUACUCAGCAAAAUAUCCAGCCCAAAAAAAUUCCUAUAUUAUGGUAGAGAAAUGGCCUAGGAAUUUUUGUAAGAACUAAAAAGUAAUUUUUGCAAAAAAAAAAGAAAAAAAGAAAAAAAAAAAGAAACUUUGAAAACGAGAAAUAGACUAAAAGCUAUUUACCGAACUAUCUUAAAACUGCUCAUCGUAAAGGAACUAAUUUGAUAACUUUUUGUAAGAAAGCAAAGUACGAGCCCAAUUAUAUCCGUGAUGCGCUCGCAGGGAGGGUGAGAGGUCAAUCAGAGCCGCUCGUGUCGUGUGGGCCCCACUUAUUUACCAUGGGUCGGGUCCCACACGUCAACCAUGUGGGAGAAACGAGAAUGAUGCGCGAUGAUGAUUCGUUGAAAUUACUGAAAAGUACGAGCUCGGCGCUGCGCUGCAAUACGGUGUUUGAGGGCAAAAUGGUAAUUGAAUUGCCAUUUCGUUAACGGCCACGUCAGCCUCUCGUUUGGUGUCCCAAAUAUAUUGUUAUCGUUACAUGAACUUGGUGCGUAGUUAGUUCUCGCGGACCGAACUUCUUUCUGCCCUUAUCCGACCGUCCAAUUUUUGACGAGAGGUACGGAAGAAAUUAUUUAACGGUUAGGAUUAAAAUAUGCGACGAGUGGUGCACGAGAUGGACAAAAUGAACCGGGUGCACGAUAGUUUGGGCCAAUAGAAAAGGGGAACGGAGCUGUGGCGCGUGGGGGUCCAAUUCCGUUACAAAUGUUUGUUACUAAUUCGAGUCUCGAGGUGGCCCGGUCACCUUUUGAGUGAGCAUGCUCCCUCCACUCUCCACUAUAUAUAGUCCCUACUCUCCCCAUUUGUUUGAAGCGUUCUCUCUUUCUCUCUCUCUCUCUCUCUCUCUCUCUCUCUCUCUCUACCCUUCACCACCUCCUUUUCCCUCUCUUCGUUCGCGUCUCCCCUUCUACAGAGCGCUCUCGACGCAGGUGAGCUCUCCGAGAUCUACGGGGCCAUUGCAUUAAUGAUUCAUCGGAGUUGAUCUUUUUCUUCGGAUUUUCAUCCAUUUUGGUUAAGAAUUCGUGUUUUAUAUAUAUCAUGAUUUUUAGCUGGUUUCUUUCAAUUUAGUGCUCGGAUUACACUCCGGAGUAGUGAUUUGAUCUGCUAGAUGGUUUCUCGAACACUAAUAAAUGUUCAAUCGGAUCCACUGACUUAAUUAUGAAUGCUGCGAUGAAUAGUUUCCUGCUUGGAUCAGUGGAGAGAGCUGAGUAGAUGAUGGAUUUUUUGAAUUUUAAUCUGUUUUUAGUACGGAUUUAGUUGAAAAACAUCUUAUCUCAAUGCAUUGGAGCAGAUGGACGAGUUCUUGAUUUGAUUUUGGCUUUUUUUUUCUUUUCUUUUUUUUUUUUGCUAGAUCGCCCUUUGUUGAUGCGUCUAAUUCUAAGUUCAAGCUCCAUUGUUCCAUUUUUGUCUUCUUCUUUAUCUCGGAACCUUAGAUCGAUGAUCGGAAAUGUGUAAGAGGCAUUAGUUCUCGCAAUGUGUCAUUUGAUUUGUUUUUCUAGUUUCCUUUUGUUUCUACAAGCUUACUCUGCAGCAGAUGUGUUGCUUGGAUAUUUUGCGGUAUUUUUCUUAGGGUCUUCUUAAUAUGUUUUCGUGCUGUUAUCAUAGUUAUUGCCUUUCUUUACCUUGUCAGAGACGCGACCUGACACGAUGCAGCAGGAGCUGGUGCGUCCCACCAAUGGCGACCGCCGCAAGCCUACGAUCGGAUCCGGAGCGUUCGCCUCUUUAGAUCAACGGCUCUCGUCCCCUCCUCACCUCACCAACGGCGCCGAUUUCUUCUACCCGUACUCUUUCUUCUACCCCACCGAGGACACCCCUCCGAACGGUCUCUCCUCCCGCUCCGCGGCGCGCUCGAGCGGCAACCGCUACGCCUCGAACCGCAAGAGCGCCGCCUCCCGGAGCCGGAGCAGGCGGCGCAGGACCUCCACGCUCUUCGUCUCCAGCAUCGCGAGGGACUAGAGGACCAUGACCUCGCACUCUGCGCGGUCCAUUUCCGCCAAGAGCCACCGCCACCCCACCAGCAGCAGCAGCGGCAGCUUCCUCCGCCUCCUCCCCCUCUCAUUGUGCCUCCGCCUCGGGCCCCGCCCCCACCCGCCCCUNCUGGCAAGCCGAGCCCCCGCAUCCCGCCGCCCCCGCUCGUCGACGAGUUCCGCCGCCUCGGCCUCGGGGACCCCCCCGCAGAGGCGAGCCCCACGAGCGUGUUGGGGUUCCAGGACCCGCAGAGCAGGGCGGCGAAGGCCGCGGGCGCCGCGGAGAAGCGCGUCGUGCUCCCGAAGAGCAUCUCGAUCCGAUCCAACGGCUAUCUGAAGCUGAACCAGAACCAGGGGUGCGUCGGCGUCGGCUCGGGCACGAACCGCAAUGGGCGGCUCCGCGUCCCGAGCCCCGUCAGGGCAGGCACCGUGAGUCCCCUUUCCUGAUCCCUGCUAUAUAGAUAUAUAUACACACACACACACACACAUAUACAUCAUGAUCGUUAUAUCAUGAUCAAACGGCUGACACGAUUACGUACGUUUGGUUACGAAGCAGCAGCGCGUGUACGUGGGAGUCGGGGUCGGCAAGAGGGGAGGGGAGAGAGAAGGGAGAGGCGAGAGGGAGGACGGGGAGGGGGAGGGCGAGGGGGAGGAGCCGGGGAAGGAGGGAAUGGAGUUGGAGGUGUACAACCAGGGGAUGUUCAAGACGGAGCUGUGCAACAAGUGGGAGGAGAGCGGGGAGUGCCCGUAUGGGGAGCACUGCCAGUUCGCGCACGGCAUCGGCGAGCUCCGCCCCGUCAUCCGCCACCCGCGCUACAAGACCGAGGUCUGCCGCAUGGUCCUCGCCGGCGACGCCUGCCCCUACGGCCACCGUUGCCACUUCCGCCACGCCCUCUCCCCCUCCGACCGCCUCCUCCUCCACCCUUAGACCUCAACUCCAUCAUCAACCAUCAUCCGUAAGCAAAUCACUCUCAACUCUAAAUUCCACCCUCACACACGCACACGCACACGCACACGCACACGCGCACGCGCACCCGAAUAGAAUAAAACAGUAAAUUGCUAAAAUGUAGGAAAGAAAAACAGAGGAGGGGGUUAAGAAGUGUGAAUAUUAUACAGAGAAGACGGGCCAUUCCUCGUGUGAGAGCAUUGCGUACUCUGCUGGGGUAACUAUAUUCGUAAAUUGCGGUGUAUAUUCGUUAAAUUCUUGUAAAAAGCAAAAAGGGGAUAUAUAAUGUAGGCAAUAAGUUUGUCCUGAGGGGAAAACCUAUUGGGGAAUAAGGGUUAGAAUAUUGGGAUUAAAAAGGAAAAAAAAAAACACUGUUGGGAUUAUGUUGAUGGGAAGUGGGUGAAACCGUCCAUGGGUAGAUUUGUUAAUGGAGUCCUUUUUCCCCCCAUUAAUUUUGAUUACAGAUUUACUUGUGGCUGGAAAUAAAAAUGUCCUGUUAGUUUCUGUAGAGAGGGUGAAGGCAGGCUUUGUCACACUUCUUUCCCUUUUAACUUUUUUUAGUAUAUUCUUACAAAUUCUUGUAGUGAGUUUUGGAUACAUGGAUUCCAUUUUUAACAGAAGGACAGUUAAUUUCUCUCUUUAGAAAUUAUUGCAUGGACUGUGCUACUAAUCCUAUCAUGAAUGUUUUAAAUCAUAUUUAAUUUAUAGAUAUAUGUUAUACAUCAUUCAAAAAUUUGUAAAAGUUAUAAAUUUUAUACGUCUGAUUCUUAUAAUUAAAUAUUAUUUUUUGCACUGUUAAUUCUUAGAAGUACUUGAUAUUUUAAUAAUAAUUUUAUGAUAUUUUAAUUAUUUAUAUUAUCGAUUAAAUUAAUCCUACUUUUACAAUAUUAGUUAUGUAGCACAUGAUGUACAAAUGCACGGCAUAUGUGAAAUAAUUUUCUCCUCUUUCGUGCACUGCCCUCGUCUAUCGGUGUGGGCGCAUUGGGUGACAUGAAAAUUUUGCAGCACUCUUCUUAUUUCUCGUCAUCUUUUUUCUUUCUUCUUAUUUCUCCUCAUCUUUUUUCUUUCUUUUUUUCUUUCAAUUUGAGGAGAGGCUGAUGAGCGAAAAUUAGUUGCGUUGGUAAAUCUUAGCCGUGCAAUGAAUAAUUCUGGUGGCUUUACCAUAUGGCUCUACAUCAGAUGUAUAGACCAUUCAAUAGCAUAGCAUAGCUUAAAAAGUGUAGAAAUGGUUCCUUAAUUUUACUAACACAAUCGACAACAGUCAACAAACUUACAGGCCAAAAAAGCACAAGGCACCAUACAUAAAUUCACAAAAUUCAUACCUGCGGUAAGUUAACGUCAAAUGGACUAGACAUACCCGAUUAUCAUAUAACACAGUCCAAACAUGACUGAAAAUUACAGAGUAAAACUUCAACUCAACAUGACAUGAACUAGACAUACCCGAUUAUCAUAUAUUACAUACGGGAAGCUUACAUACAUUAUGUUCAGACAAAUUUUAAUUGAUCUGAUGAAACCUGAGAUGACAGAUAUUACAUCUUAUAGAUAAUUACAUUUAAGGCCAACUUACAGAUAUCUGCAUCUUUGAACGUUUAAGGCCAACUUAGAGACACCGCAUUUUUAGGGAAAUUCAAGUUGCCAUCUCCAAGAGAGGAGAGGGCUCUGGAGCCACUCAUGCCUGAGCUACCUCUGUUUUGGACACUCCACAGAAGGCCAUAAGCUUAUCCUCUAUCUGGGCACCCUCCUCUGAGAGACAGAAGCGCAUAUACUCAUUAUAGUCAUAGGGCUUGAAGAGAGCAGGGUGGUUUUCAUCCACGAGCUCCUCGGGUGCCUGGACCAGUUGGCUCUUUUGCGGGUUUGAGAAGAGCAUGACAGAGUAUCUCGUCUCUUCUCCGCCCAUCCAUACGCGAUGGAAUGGAGCAUAGACUCGGCCAUUAGUCCAAGCCUGAAUCAUAGCAAGUGCAGCUCGAAUGUUACUGAGCAAGAACAUGAGGCAUACAGCCAUAUUGAGCUGGAUGCAGAAAAAAACAAUCAACUCCACACUACUACGGCUAAAGGAAAAUCAGUGUUUUAAGUUUUUGUGUUACAGAUAGUAGCCGAGCCUCUUUUUUUUUUUUUUCAAUUUGCAUAGACGCUAAUAGUCCCUGUAAACAUCAAACCUUUUAAUUUGAUCUUUUGUUGACUCCUAGUGAAGAGAAAAUAGAGAGUUAGUAAGUUGAAUUAAUGCUCAUUUUGGUUAUCUCAAAAUCAGAGAUUCCAAGGCUAGAAAUUGCAUGAUCAAGUUAACUCACACAGCAGUAACAAACGCAACAUUACUCCUAGCAAUUGAGCGUGCGUGCAACAAAGCAUAUACCCUGAGAGCAUUGCCGGCCAUGACAACGAAGGAUGUCCGCGAAGGCUCGACAGGAAUCCAUUGCCCGUCCUUCGUUUGAACCUCUAAUCCACCAACCUGAUCCUGGCAUAUUAUAGUCAAGGUAUUGGUGUCUUGAUGAGAGUAAUACCCCAUUCGCUUUUCCUCAGUAUGCGGUGCUCCAUAUUCUGCGAGCCGUAGCAGGUACCACGUGGACUCAUUCUGAGCUUCGUAGUACUUCAACACACCCAGGCUCUCCAAUACCAUCCUACGGACCAUCUUCUCCAAAUCCGCAAGUAGUUUGGCACAAUUGUGCACUGUUUCACUUCUCAAUGUAAAGGAAAAAAAUAGUUUUAAGGUAGCAACAAACUCGCCUCUCGGUCAAGAACCAAAAUGCAUGGGUGGAUACUAGUACCGUUUGCCACCCAAUAAUAUUACUUGCUUUAAUCUUUAUACAUGUUCCCCUGCAAAACUUAUAUUUUCUACUCUUUACAUAACAGCUAUAGUUCGAGUAGAGCUAUGGUGAAAAAUGAAAAUUACCAGUUCAGUCCAGUACUUGGCCAAUACAGCAAGAGGGGGGGAAAAGUUGAAAUAAUUUCCAAUACCGUUAAUAAGUGAAGAAAAAACAAAAGCAUCCCCAACUAUUUUGGCAGGGAGGUGAGAAUCAUUUAGCAGUGUUUCAUGUUCAGAGGAUGAAAUUGAUCGAAAUUAUCGCGAAUUCAAUCGUGUUUGCUCUUUGAAUAUCAAAACAACGUUCGAAAAUUGCAAACUGCGUAUGCCCGGCCAAACUAAGAUUACUCAAAAGUUUGUAUUUCAAAUUCACACCACUAGUGUUAUAGCAAAGAAAAUUACUUCCACCCGAAAGGAAUUAAAAACCGAAACAACAAAGAAUGAUAAAGGCCUGUUUAUUUUACCGAAUGUGAAGUGCAGAUUGAAAAAAAAAAAUUUAGGUGAAUUAGAGUUGAGGUAAAAAUUAUUUUGUUUGGUAACGUAGGACUGAAGUUACUCUGGUUCUAACAAAUAUUUGUUUGAUAGAAAAUUAAUGACCUGAAAAAUAAAAGUUUUUAUCAUAUUAUUUUUUUAAAAAAAAAAAUUUGUUUUAAAAAAUUGAGUUUGGUUUGGGAUGGAUUGUAGUCACUUAUUAUCGUAUGGUAAAGAGUUUGAAUUUUGAUUGAAAUUAAAGUUAAAUACUUAUGGGCAAGGGGGGAGACUGAUUGAUUCGGAAGCGAAGAUUGUAAUACCAGAAGGCAGGGUUUCCAUUUGCACGGGGCCACAUGAGAUGGGCGAAGCCCCGCACGGCGUCGGGGCGCGGCGCGUCGACGAUGGCGAGGCUCUCGUAGCGGUCGAGGCCCGGGAGGCCGCCGAGGUAGCCGUGGAAGGGCUUCUCGGGGCCGAACGCGUUCCGGAGCUUCGCUUCGCGCGGAAGGGCGAAGAGGCCGCGCACGGCUUCCCCGAAGAGCGCGCGGCGGAGCUCCGCGCCCACCGGCGGGUACAGCGCCUCGAAGCACCCCACGGAAGUGAGCGCUGCCGUCACCUGCUCCCGCACCCAACUCCACUUCCGCCCCUCCGGACUCCGCGCCUCCACUCCCGAGAAGUCGAUCGUCGGGAAGCAGGAGUUCGGGUGCGGGCGCUGGACUCCCAUCUCCUCCGACCCCAUCUCUCUCUCUCUCUCUCUCUCUCUCUCUCUCCCUCUUCUUUUUCUCUUCUUUUUUUUUUUUAUUUCGUGUGUGGAUUUUUCUUUUGCCCUUUUCGAGCAAUGAGUGAGUGUGGGGGCCAGGAAGUACGAGAUUACACUGACAAAAGAGGAUUGGAGUUUACCUCCGAUAACUUUGCUGGUUGGAGGCAUCUGUUGUAGGAAUGUCCAUGCCUACAGAUAACUCAAUCUUUUUCAAAUCCGAAUUUAAACGGAGCAAAUUUAUUCGGUACUAAAUAAAUAUAAUUUUAAAUAUAAAUAUUAAAAUUUUGAUUGUAUCUGAUCCGGAUCCGAACCUAAAUUUAUUUUAUAUUGUAUAUGAUAUGUAUUUAAAAAUUUAAUGUUAUAUUUAAAUUUAUAUUUUUAAAAAAAUUUAGAUUUAAUAUAAUAUAUUUUGAAAUAUUGAAAAGAGAAAUAAUUAUUUCGGAUUCAGAUUUUUUUGGCUCGGAUUCGAAUUUGGAUUUGGGUUCAAAUUUUUGAUAAUUCGCCCCGAAUCCGAUCCAUUAACAACCCUAAUUCUUAUACUUUAAAUUUUACAAUUAGAGAUUUAUAAUUUAUUUUAAUUUAAGAAUAAAUUACAACAGUAUUACUACUAAAGCAAUUUUUACUAUUGCCAAAACAAAUAUGUCCAAAUUAUAAAUUGGUACAAUAUAUACGCUCGAGCUACGAUAAACCUUGCUCAGGCGAUAUCACUCGCCCUCUAAAACAAAAACUUGAUAGUUAACCUUACUAAAGUGUAAGCUCUUAAUUACAAGGACUAAAAUUGAUACUGAAACCAAACAAUAGUGAAAACUCCCCAGCUGAAGCUGAAAGUUAAGAACUAUUGACCACUCUUGCGAUAAAUUUGUGAGCUGAAGCCAAAAGCCAGAUUUAUUACUGAUCAUUCUUACAGCACAGCCAAACAAUUUUCAUUCAUAAGUUAUAAACUAAGGUCAGCCUAACCUGAUUACAUGGUAAUGAAGUUACAGAUUCAGGAGUGGGUACUAAAUAAUUAAGAAACUAUUGAAGAUUAGCCCACUGCAGAGUAGGCAGUAUACACACAUAAAUACAUACAUUUUACAUUAAAUCAUCUUAAAAAAUUGUAACAGCCCUAAAAGUACACAUUCUAGUUCACUAAUUUGGGGCGAGAAAAUGAACGCGAGCAAGAGCGUACUCCUUCCCUGCCACCCAAACGCCAGUUUGUGACCACUGCACAUCUUCCCACUCCAAAUUCUCCUCCAAUACCUAGAGUUACAAGAAAAGAGAAAUUUCAGAUAUUUAUAACCCAUAAUUAGAAGUUUGCUAUGUAUGCGGCAUUCAUCAACCUAUAAAAAAAUUGAACAAAUGAAGUUACCUCCAGAUGCUCCAUAGGUAAUGGAAUUCCAAUAGAACGCAUAAUUUGUUCCGGCAUUGCCUUCUUACAGCGAGACCACCGGAAUACAUCUACAAUAUUUUCCCGAUCCGUGGCGAUUUUGUCCCCAUUUUGUGUGUAUGAGCUAUGGUUUUGAAUCUUCUCGUGUACAGAAUCUCCUGUUUGAGAUGAAUUAUGUACUGCUCCACUAUGAAUCACCUUAUCUCCAGUAGAGCAUAGCUCAUACCUGCAAGGAGAUGGUUUUAAAAAGAAAAUAAUAAAAUACAGAGACAAGACCAAGGACAUACAAUAACUAUUAUUUUUGAACUAAAAGCUGUACUUCCUAUUGCAGUUGGGAAUCAAGAACAAAAACAAUUGACAAUGGAAACUCAUUUAAGAAAUGCGUAGAAAGUACACAAGAUGUUAUAGAGCCAAACAGCUCCAAACAAAAAGGGCUUUAUAUUAAAGCAGAUGAAUAUCAGUAUUUCUAGAAUGCCCUGUGUAUCAAAAUAUUAAUGCAGAGGAACUACUAAGUAAAGGCAUUUCUAGGGCCAUACCUAUUAAAAUGUGUCUCUAAGUACAGAACUUCUCCCUUCUUCAAUCUCGCAGAAGUAUAAAGAGGCUUCUUUAACCCCUUAUCAGCAACUAUGCUAAUACUGUAUUUCAACCUGGAACAAUAAACAUGAAACCAGGAGAGGAAAAGUCAGUACAUUUAGCGUCCAAGAUUAAAAGAAAGAAAGUCAACUCAUCAUAAAUGCACCUUAAGACAACACUUAAUGCAUAUAUAAAAAGGAAACUAAGAGCAAAUUAACAGCCGAGCUCCUUAGUAAAGAGAUAAAAUAGAACUUUAUUACUAUCUCCAUAAAAAAAAAUAUAUAUGAUUGCAUUGUUAAAUAAGAUCGCAAUCCCUUCUAAGCAACAAUAGGGAAAAAAUUAUACAUAUAAUUGCUUUAGACGUAGGAAUAUACACACACACACACACACAAUGAGUUGCAAAGUCUCAACUACUGUGAUCAGGUUAAAGUUGAAGUGAGUUGAUUGAUACUCAACCAAAUCUAAUUAGGACAAGUGCAACAUAAAUAUCCUUAUUUAACUCAACAAGGAAACAACAUAUAAUCUAGUCUCUUUUUCACCCAAUUUCUCUUCUACCCCGAAUAAUUUUGUUACUUGGACCAUGCAAGUCUUUGCAACCCAUAACUGUAGGUCUUGACAGAUAAAAGUGGAGAAAAAGAGAAGGAGAAGAAUACCAAUGUAAUUAUACUCAACUAACCAAAGAAACAGAAUAACAAGCUCACAUGUGUCAACAAGUACUAUCAAGUUAUCAAGAAUGGAAUUAUAUAGCACCUGUAGGUCACAGUUAGGAAGUUAAUGUACAAUGUAUUGCUUAUGACAAAUUAAGCAUUUGGAAACCAACUAACAUCAUUCACACAGAGCACAACAAUAUAGAAACAAAUAGAUAAUAUAAAUAUAAGAGCAGAGCAAAAUCAGCCUUACAAGAAAUAAAAACAAUGAAUAUGGGAGGAUAGAACUAAAGAUUACCAGGGCUCAUUGCAGAGGUUGUACUGAAUAGUAACUUCACGGACAAACCUCUGUUGACGCAAAGCAUUCUGCUUAAUGAAAAAAUGUAAGUACCAUAACUCGAGGAAUACAAAAAAGUACAAAAAAAAGGAGGUUAAAAAGAAACACAUGUUUAAUAAAGAUUGAGCUGGAAAAAACUAAGACAAGAAGAAAUUUAUGCAGUCAUUCAAAUUUCCACAAAAAGAAGAGCAGAGAUGUUCAAAGCUGCAACACUCGUACCAACAUUGAUACACACAGGAAUAAACAGGAUCAUACGAAACUGUAAUAUGGAACAUGGAGAAAGAGGAAAGAGAACAAAGGAAAUCCCAGGGUUUUUACCGAGGCUGCAGCUCUCGUUGUCAUAGUGCGCUCAACUGUUACAGGUGCAAGAGUUGGCUCCACUGCAGAUGUAUGGUUCAGACGAGGCUCGAGAUCAAUCGUCCCACCACCUUUCUGCCAAAGACAGAGGAUUAAGAAAAAACCAUGAGAUAACUAGUAAGAAAAUUAUUUAAAAUAAUCCAGGAUAGUAAAAGAAAGUUGAAUAAUCAUAAAAGGCGAAGAGUCAUAAAGAUAAUAUAGACUAAUUUUUCCCUGAUAAAUUAGAACAUAUAAAUAUAAUGGCAACAUGAACACUUUCAAGUGGACAUGAUCAGACUUUUGUUAUUAUCAAAUAAAAUGGCAUUAUUUUUUACUACCUUCACAAUGCAACAGCGCUCAAUCCGAAAACUACAGCCAAUACCUGCCCCCCAAGCACGCGACCGGACAUUGUUCCGUAGUGUUGAAGUGUAACCUGCAAAAGACAGGUAGCAUAUCUAAAACACUGAUACAUUUGUUACAGCUCCUUAAAUAUGAAUAAUAAAAGAAAAACCAACAACACACUAAUUAAUAAUGGAUUUGCUCAUCACUAGAAGACUAUAAUGUCAACAAAUUAUGUAGCUUCGGCCAAGAAGUCACAUUAGUGAUUUAUGAAUUAUCAUAUCAUAGUACUGAAUCUAAAUAUCAUGUAUUAGUUGCAGUAGACAUACAAUCUUGUGGAGGCAGAACUCGAACUGUUGCCCGUAGUUCUUGAAUGGCAGAAGGUGGUGGAGAUGAUGUUGGGCAGCAGUAACCGGUGUGCAUGAGUACUGAUGAACAGACAAAAAUAAGAACAUCACCAAUUAAGAAUGAUAAAGCAAAGCUUCAACAGGAAAGUAUGAAAAAGCAUGGAAAAAAGAUUGUACCAGCAACAAGAUCCGAAUCAUUUGUAUAUAUAUCUGUUCCCCACAGCUGGGCACCUUUAACCUGAAUAAAAUGACCUUAAUGACUAUAUUGAACAAAAGUAACUCAAAAGGAGUUAAACCUUAAUGACUAUAUUGAACAAGAGCAGCUCAAAAGGAGUUAAAAAUUUGUCUGAUGUAAUGGUUGUUUGCCAACAAUAUGGAUUGAUAAUUAAUACAAACAUAUAAAUCUGUUUCUUGAGUUCCCAUAUAUGUAAAAAUUGAUGGUUACUCUGGCAAUAUGCACUUUUAGCAUAAGGCAGCCAAGAAAUCAUGGUAAUAAGAGGCUUGCAUUGUCAGAUUUAACAAUUGACAUAUUAUCAACAAUAAAUAAUAUUCAUACAGCGCUUAGUUUCGUAACUCGAAAAUAUGUAAACAGAACUGAUACACUAUAGGCACAAAAGCACAUUUAAGACGAACCGGAAGAAAGGAGAUAAGCAUGUGUAGGACUUGAUUUACUUACUUGACGAUUUGUGGAGGUAACAUACUCUGCAGGUAUACGAAUUUCCAAAGUUGGACCAGAUUGUAAGGUUUCACCAUUUUUAGCAUCUUGGGAUGCUUCAAAUUCUUUCCAAGAUUUUAAAAGCUCUUGCAUGCAUUCACCGGCUUUAUAGACAAUCGCAGACACCUCAAUCUUACCUGCCAGAAAGGAAAACAGAUUGAAGAACAUAGAAAAAGGAACUAAAUUACUAAAUAAGGAUUCCACGUACCAAAAUGACUUUGCAUUCAUUUGUUUAUGUAGAUUUAUGAAAUGUAUUUACCUUCUUUUUAGGAUAUAAUAGUACUCUGUUGACAAGGUAAUCAUCAAAAGAGCAAUGGCUUCAUUUAGAUCCUUUAGAACAAUCACAGAUUUAUAACAUAAAUGGCAUAUCUUUCCCUUUUGUAACAUGAUUAAACAUUAUAUAUUUUUAGCUUAUGAUAAUGCAGGUAAUCUAUACACUUUGUGACUUGCAGAUUAUGUUCUAAAAGAGAAACAAUGCCUUCCACCAUGAAAGGUUUAUCUCGGUUCCAAACUUGAAGCGAGCAUUUCGACAAUCAAAACCUAAUGAGAAGUGAGGGUGCUGACCUUGAGAUCUGCAAUAAUGAGAAAAAAAAGGGAAAGAGAAAAAAAUAAUCAGCAAACGCCGAAGUACAAAGAAACAUCAAAAUAUGCUCUUGAGAGAAGUGCUCUUUCAGUCAUAUAUCUUCCAAAGAUGAAAGUUUCAGUGUAUAAUUGAAAAAUCAUAGGAGAACAAGAUAGAUAUAUUCAGGACAAAUAUAAUUUGUCAUCGGAAAAUCAUCGGCAGUAGGCAUCUGAACAAUGAAUAAACAUACUGUUUUGUUUCGUCAAAAAAGAAUGUGAAGAAAGUAGAUGCAAGGUGUAAAUUGACACCAAAAAGCAAGCCACUAAAGAAAAUGAAGAAAAGAAAGUAAAUGUAAGAUUUAAAAUGACACCAAAAAGCAAUUUGAAACAAAGAAAAUUAAGACUUCAUUCGAAGAGGACAAAACAAAGAUACUACUAACAGUUAUAAUUAAGCCUACAAACAUGAACUCCAGAGAAAUAAAUACAAAAUAAUAUCAAGCCAGCAUUCUAUGAGGGAAAAGUAGAGAAUGCGGGAGUGCAUGUAUUUAUCUGUUCUACGUAAGAUAAGUGUUCAAAAAUCAACCUAUUUGCAUUAUUGUAUGGAAAAUCAGUGCAUGCAUCACAGUUUACCACCGCAUUAUUCAUGCCCUAACAAACAUGAUUCAUUUCACAUCAGCCAAUAAGGAGGAUAAAACAAAAAUAGUAAUACAACAGUUUAAUUACAAACCAACAUGAACUCUAAAGAUACAAACUCAAUAUCAUAAAUUCAAUUAAUAAAGGAAACUGUGAACCUGACAUGUAACAAAAAAAAGGGGGGCAAAAAUAUUUAUAACCAAGCAUUGCACCAAUGAAUAAUAACCGGAAAACAACCAUUUUUGCUUAUCAGUGAAUGCAAAAUCAGUGGUUGCAUAAAAUCUUACCCCUCAUUAUCUCGUGUUCUAGACCGAAAACGAGGCUCUCGAUGAGGUGCUUGAGUCCCCCUUGAUCGAAGCAUUCUCCUGCGCUGCUGCUGUACACCACCAAAAACUUCCUUAUCCUUUUCUGUAUCACCUUCUGCACAGCCAUCGUCUGAUUCUCUUUCAAUGUACUUACUACGUUGAUCAUGUCUGACUCCUAGAUCGGCAUCCCUUUCUCUUUUUUUCUCUUUAGAAUCCUUAUCAGCCUUCCAAUUAUCAUCUUUGAGUCUCUUAGGUUCAGAUGGUGCAUUUUCCUGCUCAAGGUUUUUGGCAGUGACAUCAACAGAAUCCUUCUCAAUAUGCAAAUUCUCUUUCUCAUUCACAUUUGACGACUCUUUCUUAACAUGAUCCUUCUCCCUCUCAUUCCCCUCCUUGUCCUUCGUAGAAUCCUUUCUUUCCUUCUCCGGCCAAUCGACAUCUCUGUCUUCUCUCUGCAGUUCCUUGCGUUCAGCACUAAUACCACUAAGCUGCAUAUUGACUCGACGGUCAUUUUUAUCCUUGUCUCUCUCUCCAAAAUCUCUGUUCCUUUCAUCCUUCCUUCUCCUAUCCUUAUCUCUGAACUUCUCUUCGUUUUUCAAAUCAACUCUGUUCUCACCAACAGCCUCAUGAGCUUCCGCAGGACAACGCUCUUCAACUGCUGGGAGGUCCUUUGCAACCUCAUCUGUGCCUUGUAAUCCAGACCGUGCAAGCCGCCAUGAUUCAAAUCCAUCACUUGGAGGUUCAAAAUAUCUUUUACCCCUACCAUGAUGUUCUUUACUGUCUUUCCAGCUUAUAUAAGAACUAGUUGUGGAAUAACCAUCUUUUUCAGAUUUUAUAUCACCCUUGUAGUCAAACUGAGCAGAUCUAUCAGGUCUUGGUUCUUUUCCAUCCACCCUGCUAUCUAUCCUCACAUCAUUCUCGACCUUACUGGCUUGAGGAUCUAACCUUGAGUCAGCAUGUAUCUCUCUAUUCUCAGCCCUGAACUCCCAAUUUUCAAUCUUAGCAUCCCUUGGUUCUUUAAAAGGUUGCUCAGUGAAGUUGCUAGAAGUUAGAGGCAUCCGAUGUAGAAGAGGUGAUCUCUUAUCAUCACGGAAUUCAACUCGUUGGACUUUUGAAAGUCUCCCAUCCUGUCCGUGCUCAAAAGGAAGCUGAAAAUCAGUGCCAAGUGGCGGCAUCAGUCGUCCAGAAGGACUAGCAAACAUGCCGGUCUCUUCGUGUGGUCUUUUUACAGGUGUAGAAUGGGCCCCAUCAUCGUGGGACCUCUUUGGAGCGCCACUCAUACUGCCUUGGUGCCACAAGUUACCUGUUCAUCUGGCCCAGAGGAAGAAAAAGGGAAGCAACAGUAGUAGCUCCUAGGGCUUCGAUAAACAUUUGUCGGGAACCGCCUUUUGGAUCUUCAAAAGGGAAAAAAAUGUAAAAAACAAUUAAAAAGGGAUUAAUUUAUCCUGCAAACAAGAUGGAAUAGUCAGUAUGGAAAACAAAUGAAGUCCGAAAACCCUUUUGACUUUAAUACAAUUGCAAAUCACUGCUUUAGGUUAAAAGGUUGCAACUUAUUAUGCGAAUGAUCUAUUCAUUUCAAACAACUACCCAGUCCACAUUCUCUUUCACUUCCCUGACUGCCAUUAGCAUCCAACUGUCACAUGACGGGGAUGAAAAGAAAGGGAAAAAAAAAAGCUAGACCCCACUGAACUCUAAAAGUUUAAUACGGUCUAACAUAUUUUCCUGUCAUAUGAUAGUUGUGUGCUAAUGCGGCUAGAGAACUUGAUGGAAAAUUCAGUCUGCUUUGUUAUUGAAACAAAUAACCGUUGGCAUAGAAGACUACAACCUUUUAAACUGCGAGCGGAGACUCACAAUCAUGCCAAAAGUUCAAGGUGAAUCUGAGGCAUUUUCCCCCUAACUUAUAAACAUAGAAAAUAUUGACAGCUGAAUUUUAAGUUACUGAAGCAGAUCGAGAUGUAGUUGCAUAACAUCCAACAAAAAGUUAGUAGAACUUCGAAUCUGCAAUGAGUCAAUGACAUUAGCAGCAUGUCAAGCAGCAAGAAAAAUAGAACAACAACCAAUACUUUUAAGUAGUUCUUACACUUGUCAAAUCACCAUGAUAGAAUUAGCUUGUUAGAAUCAAAUAGACAACCAAAGUGUUAUAUUAACAACCAACCCGAUGUGACUCGAUUACACUACCUUAAAAAUUUACUUCCAUUGACUAAAGUACCUUAAAAGUUAUAGAUCUAUGAGCAACUCUAAUACAGUUCCCUAUCGUCGUACCUAAAGGGAUCUUAAUAACAAGACUUUCUUUGGAAACUCUAAAGAGUCACGUGGAUCCCAUAAAUAACAUAAUAAUACACUAUCAUGAUGAAAACAUAACCAAUUUGUUCUAGUUGUUGGAUAUCAAUGGAUGUUGGAAUGGAUGUUAGGAAAAAUCAUUGUUGGAAUGGAUGUUAGGAAAAAUCAUUGCAGUUGGCAUUUUGAUAACAAGCUGUUCUGUUCUGCUCAGCUUGGGAGGCAAAAUUUUUCAUAUUUUUUAGAAUAAACUGAACAAAGAUCAACUAAAUCAAACCAGUUUGUCUUAUUUGGUUUGGGUUGGAAAAAGAUAGUGAGAACACCAACUCUUCGUACUCUCAUCUCUUUAAUCAUCAUUCAUGGUCCUUUUGCAUUCCUUUGUCCAAAUCAGGACUAUUAAGCAAGUGUUUCUUUUGAAUCGGUCAGUUUCCUAAAGUUAACAUUUUCUUUUAUAUUUUAUGCUGUGUAUCACAUUAAAGAUUGUUUUUAGAUAUACUCAAAAAAAGGCAACAAAUUACUAUAAAUUCUCCAAUUAAACUAUAUGUACCAACUUUGAGAGUAAAACACAAAUCCUUUUUUUUCAAAAAAAAGACAACCAAAAAAACCUAAUUUUGUGAAUACAUAAGAAUAUUUAGGGUUUUUCUGAUUUCCCAAAAGCAUACUAGAUUCAAUUAUAUGUCUAAAUGAACACGAAAUCACAGGCAAAAAGUAGAACAAAAAAAAAAGUGAGAGAGAAAAUCGAGGAAAUAAAUGACACGGAAGGGCAAAAACAAAAACAAAAAAAAAAAACACCACGAUUACUUAUCAUCGCCCCCAAUCAGGAAGAAAAACAGCAAAGAAAAAUAGCCAAUGAAGGGUAAAGAUAUAGAGAUUGUUUAAACAAAAUGGAGGAUAAAGAAAGAUCUCACAAGGGAAACUACUGAUCCCAUUAAGAAACAAAAACAAACUAAAAAGAGAGAGAGAGAGAGAGAAAACUCGGAGAAUUAGGCGUUACAAAAUGAGUUCUAAUCCGUCUCGAAUUAAAGGCGAGCACAAUCCCGAAUCAGAUCUAAUACCUCCAUUCGUACGAUUAGAUUGGAGCUACGAUUAAGGGAUUAUUAGAGUCCACAGAGAGAGAGAGAGAGAGAGCAUUACCUAGCACACUAAUGGCGGAGAGAGGAGGAGGAGGGGGUUCGUGGCGGAGCUUCCUCGGUGGAGCCACCGAGGUGGUUGGGGGGGUAGCGAGAGCUCGGGGUAGAGACGAUGAGGGAGCGGACGCGCGGGGUUGGACUCGGGAUGGGGCGGAGAGUAGGGUGGGGGAAAGCGAAGAAACGGGGAGGUUCGGGGUUGCGGGGCGCCCGUUGUUCUAUUUGUUGGUGUUGGUGGGCGCCGACGUGGGCCGGUUCGAACUUGGUCCGUUUUCGGCCCAAAUUAAACAAAACGGGCAUAACCGCCUGAUCCGGGCUUAACUUCUUUAGCACUUGUUAUUAUAUGGAUGAAAACGGGUCGCACAACAUCUGAGCCGACCCGAGUCCUAGCGAUGCAAACGGGGCAGUCGGGUCGCGGGAGAGUCCCCAACUCCCACCCCUUGUUUUCGUCCGGUCGGAAAGGAUUGAGAGCAGAUUAAUUUUUAUUUUAUUUUUUUUCAUCCAGAGAAAAUAAGGGCCAGAACGGAUUUUGCCGAAUUUUUGGCAAAUUAAGAUGAAUAGAAAAAGAAGUAAGGGAUCUCUCACCGCCUAUUCUAUUUUCUUGGCAAAUCCGGAUGGGUGCGUGGUAGGUAAUUCCUUUGUAUAUUUUUUUUACUCCCAUUCAGGAUUUGUCGAUACGAGAGUUUCAACAACCCGAAUCCAUUUAUAUCUCUAGACCGGACAUUGAAUUCGACACCUUUCAGAUGUAGAUCAGAAUUUUGCCAUCGGACUCAAAUUCAGAUUCGGAUUUAUAUUAUCCGAACUCGAAACUAGUUUUUAUGUAUUUUCAAGUUUCAACAGUUGCAUCAUUUUUAAAUCUAUUUAUAACCUUUUCUUUUGAGAAUCCUCAGUUUUUUUAAUAUUUUUUAAAUUUUUUUUGAGAAUCGGUAGCUAAUAUUUUUUAAAUUAUAUAUAGAAUUAGGCUACUAUACUAUCUAUAAUACCGAGCUCCGGUACUAUAGUGUUUGUUUUCGAUCUUAGGGUGUUCAAAUCAACGAUCCACACCGUUAAAUAUGAUCUAGGGUAUAUGAAUUUCUUAAAAAUAAAAUUUUAGUUUUUUUCGAUAUCGUUUACUUAGUAAAUAAAUUAUAUAUAUAUAUAUAUAUAUAUCUCGAUCCGAUGAUAUGAUAGAUAUCAUGGCCUCGCAUGGCUCGAGGCCAUGAUAUCACAACCAAAAGCUAGAAUCCCGCAAGUUUAGUUGCUAGGUGUGGCAAUUUUGACUAGAUCCCAUAAAUUUCAAAGAUCUUUAUUUUAAAAUAUAAAAAAGCUGUAUCAAAUGAAAUACUAGUUUGGUAAAGUUUUAAUAGUUAAAAGUUACUGAUAAUACUGCUCAAACCUCAAAUUGCCACAUCUUCUUAGAUUUAAAGAAGUUUAAAAUUAUUUUUUAUGAAAUUUGAUAUAUCUAACUCUAAUUGUAAGAACUAGAACUUAAAUUUUCAGGAUACGAGUUAAAAAUUUUUUAUAAGUUAAAAGUGGCAGGUAAAACUGNNNNNNNNNNNNNNNNNNNNNNNNNNNNNNNNNNNNNNNNNNNNNNNNNNNNNNNNNNNNNNNNNNNNNNNNNNNNNNNNNNNNNNNNNNNNNNNNNNNNNNNNNNNNNNNNNNNNNNNNNNNNNNNNNAUAUAUAUAUAUAUAUAUAUAUAUAUAUAUAUAUAUAUAAAACUAAACUACUAUAUUAUUAAUACUAUUAAUACUAUUAAUAGUAUCAAGUCAUUAGUGCUAUUAUGCCCUUCAAUGAAGAGUUGUGCGGUUAGAAUAAUAAUGAUCCUCUACGACUGAGUGGAUAGUUGGUGAAUUAUAUGAUCUAACAUGUGAAAAUAGUCAAAAUGAUAAAUUUAAUGGCGAAAAACUUAGUAACACCAAGUGCUGGGUGUUAUUAGCAUAAUAGUCGAAUAUAUAUAUAUAUAUAUAUAUAUAUAGCUAUGGUGCUUCUAAAAGCACCAAGCACUUGGUGCUUGUGAAUUUUUUACCGUUAGAUUUACACCUUUGAUCAUUUUCACCCAUUAGAUUAUACUAUUCAACCAACCACCUACUCAACCCUAGAGAGAGAGAGUUUGGCUGGUAUGCUUAUGGAAGCACGGAGACUUCCGUGCUUCCAAGUUGUUUUCGAUGUUCGGACUUUCGAAUCGACGAUCGGCUCCGUUAGCGUUGAUCUAGAGUAUUUGAAGUACCUAGAAAAUAAAGUUUGCGAUUUUUCGAUAUCAUUUCCCUAGUGAUCGAAAGGGCUCAAAAUCAAUAAUUUUAAUGGCCGUGGUGAGCCGGUUGCAAGUUUAACGGUGUAGAAAUAUCUAAAUCACGUGAAAUUUUAAUAAAAAAUUCUUUAUAUUAUAUAAAAUAAGAUCAAUAUCUUUGAUUUAAAUUUUUAAUGUCAUAUCAUCACAUUUUGUGAGAUUUUUAUUUUCAGCCGUUUAUUUUGAGCCCCUUCGAUCAUUAGGCAAAUGAUAUCGAAAAAAUCACAAAAUUUAUUUUCUAGAUACUUCAAAUACUCUAGAUCAAGUCUAACAGAGUCGAUCGUCGAUUCGAAAGUCCCAACAUCGAAAACAACUUCGAAGCACGAAGGUCUACGUGCUUCCAUAAAUAUACUAGCCGCACUAUAUAUAUAUAUAUAUAUAUAUAUAUAUAUAUAUAUAUAUAUAUAUAUAUAUUGCUUUUAGUUAUAGGUAAUUCUUAAAUAUUCAAUUCAUAUCCAACUUGUUUCCGAAUCCGUUUUUACCGAAUAUAAAUAUAAAUUCUAGUAUCCGAUCAAUAUAUGAAUAUAGAUUAAGCACUAUCCGUUUUCAUAUCCAACCCGUUUCUACUCCUAACAUCAUUGGGCCCAAUCGGGUUCUCCAUGAAGCCCACUAGAAGCCUCUUCAAAUUGCAGGGACUUGGGCUUUCCAGUUCUGAAAACAAUUGGCCUUCAUUUUAUAAGUUCUCAAUCUAGGUCUUUGCUGUGAUAGAAGGUUUUUGUGCUGGAGUUUUUACCAUAUGUAUAAGAGAAUCUAAUCGAACUGACUCAGUUCAUAAUUGUUAAAAUAUACAUAACGCUUUUGAAAUUGACUCAGUUUAUUAAUUUUAUUAUUUCCUCUUUUUUUUUACAUUUUUAUUAGAUUUUAUAUCCUUUCUCCAAAUUUUAGAAAAUAAUUUCAAACUAGAACUAUAUUUUUUAUUUGUCUCCAGUUUUAAGCCCUUCCUUUUUAAAAAUUUCUUCAUAGUUGCACAAGAAUGAAGCAUCUAAUGAAACCGAACUUCGCAAAAACUGUGGAAGCUAAAGUGAUUCAAUAGCCUGCUUUUGGUUUAAAUAUCACCGAAGAUGACUCUCAUUCGUACAAAUAGUACAGAACGAUGAAUAAAUGCGAAAAAAGACUAUGAAGAGAGAAAAAAAAAAAGGAACCAAUCAUAUCUUGCACAGUUGGCUAAGAAUUUAAUAGUUAGUAUUUGAGGCCUCAAGAUUCCAAGACUAGUUGCUAGUAUUUCUAUUUAAGUUCAUUUCUAAAAAGUCAUACGGAACAAUCAAAUUAAAUAGAAUCAUGAUUAAAUUUAAUAAAAAAUUUAAUUUAAUUAAUAAAUCGUGUUGUAAAUAAAAUGAAUCGAAAGUGCCACUGAAUGCAAAUGAAUGGAAUGGAUUAAAGAAGAGGGCCAUUCACAAAUGGGCCGAAAUCGGCGAACGCUAAUUAGUACCAAGGCCCUCUACAGGGUUUUUAACACGAGCCCACAGUGUAAAUUGUUCAACACAACUGUUACACGUAAUAGGUCCACAAAUGGAUGUGGACCCAUAAGUUAAUGGGUCGAGCCCGAUAAGCUUCAUAGUCUGGGUUAAAAUUUUUAAAAAUAGAAAAAAAAAAUAAAAUCUUAUUUUUAAUUUUACACAAUUUUUUACACAAUUUUAGUGUAAAAAAUAUUACUAACUAUCUUCUCAUUUCAAAAUAGUCACUGUUUGAGAUUGCAACGAAAUUGUUUCGUGUGGCAUGAGAAAAAUAGGACCAAAAUAAUAUUUUAUUUAUUUUAGUAGGUAACAUUAUGAAAUAUUAGUAUAGAAACCUGUACAAUGCGACUGGUGGAUAAUUAGAAAAAAAAUAGAAAAUAACGAUAAAGGAAGAGAAAACGGCAAGAAAAGAAGCAAUGAUGAGUAGUGCGAUUCAUCUUGUCGAUGAAAGAAGCUAACAACAGAAGGAAGAGGAAGAUGAACAAGUAUGCCCAAUGUAGAGGUUUCGUACUGUUCAGUUCAAGCAAAAAAAAAUAAAAUAAAAUAAAAUAAAAUCCGAUUCGAUUCAAGCAAAAAAAGAAAAACUUAAGCCGGUUCGGAACAGAGUCCGCAUUCAACAAUGAUCAGUUUGGUUUCAGUAAAGAAAGAGAGAAAUUCGAUUCAAAGAUCAAAACAUGUAGAGUAAUUGCGCUGGUUCGACCCAAUGCAACAGGUUGACUCGAUUCGAUUCAAGUAAAGAAAUAGAAAAAUCAAGUUCGGUUCAAGUGAAGAAAGAAAAAAAUAUGUAGAAAACUUGAGCUGAUUUAGGAAAGCCUGCACUCAAUAGCAAUCGGCUCGGUUCAAGUAAAGAAAGAAAAAAAAAAAAUUGGUUCGGUUCAAGUAAAAAAAGUGGAAAGGGGAAAAUAUGUGGAGGACUUGAGCUGGGUCGAGGUGGAGUCCACACUCAAUAAUAAAAGAAAUAUUAUCAUGCAACAAAUUUAAGAGGAAUAAUGUAUAGAAGAUAUAUAUAGAAGGGUAUAGAUGGAUUUAUGAUGAGUCUCGUCAAUAUUUAGAAUGGGAAGAUAGAUAGUAAUUCAAGGUCCGGGUCAACCAAAUUUUGCGUGUCAAAUUGAAAUGGACAAGGAACAAAAACAGGGUGCUAUCAAAUCUAAUAAUUGUAGGUUUAAUUCUUUACAGAAAAAAGUGAUUUUCAACUUAUUAUAAAUUGCGAUCGAUGCAAUAUGCUACCUCGUUCUAAACAAGUUUCAUAUCCAAAUUUGUUAGUUAUUCAAAAACUUGAUAAUCAAAUACAAGAAUAAAAUGGUUCUAAUUGCUUAAAUUUUUAUGCAGCAAAGUAAUUGCUGAUUUUUCUGAACUUCACCUCUUUUGCUAACAAGCACGUGAACUUUUGAUUUUGAUAAUUAAGCUCCUUAAUAGAUCACUCUACUCAGGCAAACUGACUACUUACAAAUAGUCGAUUGAAUUUUGAAUAUAUAUUUCUGUAAUACUUCAAAAUAUGAAGAAAUAUGUUUCUUUUAUUCUAGUUGUGGUAAUUGAGCAUGAGAAUCAAAGAAUAUUGAAUAAAACUUUGAUUUAGAUUUUUUUUUUCUCUUGCUACGUUAGAAUUACAAAAAUAAAUUUUCUUAUGUUUGAAGCUUUAUAAAAUUAUAUGCAAUACAAACAGCCAAAAUAGCCCCAUAAUUAGUAACUUCAAUUGGAGACGAUGGUCGAUUAAACUAUUUUAUAAGAUUUAAAAUUCUAAAAAUUCAAAAUUUUAUGUCUGUUUAUAAAAAGGCAAAAGUUCAGAAGAUAUAUACACUCUUUUUUUUACCAACUGAAAAACUUUUAGUUCUGAAGAAAAAAAAACAUAAAAAUAGCAACGAUAUCAAACAACAUCUAAAUUUAUAAUCUAUGUAAUUGUAUAAAAAAUUAGUAUUUUUAUUUUUUCAAAAACAUAAAAUUUAAUUUGUUAUAAAAUUUGAAAAAUAAAUUGUUUGAAAAAACUAAGUUUUCUUGAAACUACACAGAUGAAAUACUGAAAUAAAAGUUUUUCAUUAAAAAAAAAUUUUCUCAAUUUUUUUUUAAUGUUUUUUUGACGAACUAAACACCCCUAAGUUUCAAACCAAAUAAUUUUCUGCUUUAAUUUGAAUAAAUAAAAAUUUAAUAAUUCUUUUUUUCUUUUUUUUCAAUCCAAACUUAAAAAGAAAAAUAAAAAAAAAGGGGGGUAAAGUAAAACGAAGCAUUCAAUGUUCACUGGUUGGCUCUAUCCCGCUCUCUUCUGAAACCGGGCACUGCAGAAAAUCGAGUCGAGCAGCGGGCGGGUGACGUCGCCUACUCGCCUGCGGUGCGCGUGUAAGCGUGCGGUGGACGACCGAGCUCGAAGAUCCACCCACACCCACACCCACACCCACACCCACAAGCACUCGAGUCCAACCAAACACCCACCGGUACGUCUGGACGACUCAUAAUUAUCGCGCGUCGUGGCUGAUCACGCAAUCCGCGUCUUCUUUCUCCCACGUAACGUACACGUACAACCAGCUUCUUUCUUUUCAUCCUUACUCCAUCAUGCAUCUCCCCCAUCUCACCCACACCAUCACUCAUCGCACCUCCUCUCAACGUUACUGCGUUCGUCUGUGUGAAUAGUAUAUAGAUAUCAUAUAUAAUAUAAUAUAUAUAUACUCAUAUAUAAUAUAAAUAUAUAUAUAUAUUAUAAUACAUAAUAUAUAAGUUAGGUUACCGGUGUCUGUAACAGUACUAAAAUUAGUGUUUAUGAUAUUUUUGUGCUGUAUAAUUCAUUGUUUGCCGGUAUAAAUUAUACUAAUUCAGCCAAUCAUCCACUCAACCAUAGAAACUCACAUCAUUCUAACCACAUAUCCCUUAAUCCAAUGUUUAAACAAUCAAAAAGACCCACUAACUUGUACUUUUAAAAAAGUAUGGAGCUCAAUUCUCUCUCUCUCAUCUCUCUCUUCUCUCUAUAUAUAUAAUAUAGAUUAUAUUAAUAUUAUGUAUAUAUAUAACUAUAUAUUUUCGAAAGUAUAGCAAAAAUUUAUGCUUCUAAACAUUUGACUCUUAGAUCAUAGAUUACAGUACGAGUAGAUGAUAGUCUCCCCACUAGAUUGAUGGUCCGCACAAAAUAUAAUAUUAAUUCCAAAAUUAUAAAUGGUGAAAAAACUAAUUAAGAGCUAACAGUUGAAAGUAAACUAAACUUUUUUAUACUUGAAAGCAGUAAUACUUCUAUCUCUCUCUCUCUCUCUCUCUCUCUCUCUCUCUCUCUCUCUCUCUCUCUCUAUAUAUAUAUAUAUAUAUGAUGCUAAGGAUAUUAAGCAAUUUAUGCGCGCAAUUAAAAAAUAUAUUUUAUAAAUUUAUCAGCAUACCAAUAAUUUAUAAAAAAAUAUAUAUUAAAAAGAAUGUUAUAUUAGUAUAUUCUAUCUUGCACUCCUAACAUAAAGUUUAAUGAUUGAUAUUUCAAUUCCCAAAUUCGAGACAUAAUUAUUUUAUAGUUUUAGAUAAAUUUAAUUUUUUAAAAUAUAAACGAAAUGGACGACAUACUCUCUCUUCGCUCAAAAUAAAAUUUUCUAUCCUGCCUCAGAGCAGAGUAACAAAUCUUUUAUUAGAUCAUUACAUUACUUUUGCUAUAUUACAUCUCUUCGUAUUGUAUAAAAGUUUUAAUUAAUUAGAAUAUAUAUACGGUCAAAAUAUUUUGCAGGGGUAAUGGUAAUGUACUGCACGCAUGGUGAUGAGAGGGAUACGUCAGGAAAUCUGGCACCGUACGUAGGCUCCUCCAAAGUGCUCAGCAAGUUGGUGUGAUGCGAACAUUAAGGCGUGGCAGAGCCCUAUCAUUGUCCACUUAAUUGCAGCUUUUCUUUCUUUUGCAUGCAUAGAUGAUAGAGCGACUCACUGACAUUGUGUAUAGCCACCAAGAACUAGUUGGGACCAUUCCCAUUUUUCUAAAAUAAUAUAGCAGUUAUGUCACUGAUAUUUUCAGUCAAUAAAAAAUUUUUUGUAAAAUUUAUCUAUUUUAUCAUAAUUUUUUUAAAAAAAAAUAUUUUUCAUUAUAUUUUUUUUCACAAAAAAAAAGAUGUGAUUGACUCCGUGACACCGGUCCAUUUUUCUAAAAUACAGUAAUCAUGUUACUGAGGUGAUAUUUUCAACUAAUUAAAUAAUUAUUCUAUAGUUUAUCUGUUCCAUCAUAAUUUUUAAAAGAUACUUUUAUUAUAUUUUUCUCUCAAAGAAAGAGAUAUGAUUGACUGAAUGAUGUGGUGUAGUAAACUUUCUCUAACUCGAGGGUGUAAAAAAUUUGAUGACUAAUAGUCUGAAUUCUAUAUUUAAAAUCUAAUUGCUUUAUAUUUUUGACUAAAUGUACUUAAAAAAAAAAGAAAUGAAUUGUAGGCUAUCUUGUUGGGAAUCCGGUACUCGUCCCGGUAUCGGAUCUCGUGAAUCCGCAACCCGCUCCGAUACCGACUGCUGUGGAUCCGGUAUCGAUUGUUGGGAUUCCGCAACGGAAGCGUCGAAUCGGGUUUUUACUAUAAACCCGUCUCCUCAGCAAAAGCUGAUACAAUCAUAAAAAAAAAAACCAAAACAGAAAAUAUGCGGAUAAAAUAAGAUUCAAUUAAAUAAGAGAAGAUUACACCUGACUCCUAUUCUGCAACAGAGUAGCUACAACCCUAGCCAUCUUUCUGAAUCUUUUCUACCCUUCUCUCAUCUUCUAUAAACCCACAAAGAAUACCUCUCCGCGUGCACCCGUGCACAAGAUGCACUAAAAUAACUCUCUCUCUCUUUUUCUCUCUCUGGUACGACACCCCAAUGAUUCCAGCCGUACUACUAUCAAAAAAGAGAGCCACAAAGUCUAUUUAUAAUGCUCAACUUAAAACGUACCCCAAUCCUAAUAUAUUUAGGAUUCAUACUUUAAUUAAUAUAUAAAUCUAUCUUAAUCAAUCUGAUUUAAAUAUUAAUCAUAAUCUAGUUAGGUUUAUCCUCUAAUUAAUAUUUAAAUCUUAAUUUAUCUCAAACAGAUUUAAAUAUUAAUUAUUAUCCAAAUAUGAUUUAACUACAAAUCUAACCAAAUCCUAACAUAUCUUUCUCUCUUUCAAAAAAAGUAAUGAUUAAUUUGGUUGGCUUGAUUCAAUUGAUGUAGUUUUAAUAAAAUAUUUCUUAUUUAGUUUAAUUUUUUAAAAACUAUAAAAAGUGAGAUAUAAUCAUAAUUAAAUUAUAAAAUCAUUAGUCUAAGAUGAUAAUAAUAAUUAAUAUCUUUAAUUAUAUAAUUAUUACUUAAAAUUAAUAUAACUUUUUUUUUAAAAUGUAAAACUAAUAUAUAUUAAACCGAAUAAUAAUGCUCACGCCUGCGAAGAAGAACUACCCAUGUAUAUAAACUUCCAUCAGAAGGGUGAUAUGCUAUUUAUUUAGUAUAAUAUUAUGUUUUAUAUUUAGUAAUAAAUCAAUAUGAAAUAUUUUCGGCAAUCCUAUUAGAAAACAGAAAAAUAUAUCUAUACAUUUUUUUGGAGGAUUUUUACUCAGAUGUCUGAUUAGGACCAUUUAGUCAACCAAGAAUAUAUUAGAUAUUUUUAAAAUUUUGAGAAAGAGAUUUUUUUUUUUGUAUUAAUUUUGUUGUCUAAUUGUGUUAGAUGGGCCUCAAUACCAAAUUGACCCUCAAUUUGGUUCUGGGUUUAAUUUGGUUCAAUAGAAAAAAUUUGUUUUUUGAAGAAUUGAUCUAACUUUUAACUUAAAUAUUCUCUCUAACUAUUUUUCACCGCAGCAAGAGCAGAAACUUUAAAUUUUGUUCGACAUUGUUAUUGUUGUUGUUUCUUUACAUUUUUAAAUAAAAUUUUUACCCAAAAUAUUAUAGAAGAAAAUGAUGAAUUGAUUAUAAUCUCUACAUCCAACAUAAUUGCACGGCAAUAAAAAAUAAAAAACAAAAAAUUUUGAAGUUCUUAUUUGCUUCCAAAUUUUUUUUUAUAAAAAGUUAUCAUUCACUGCCUGCCCACAAUGCACAGACAAGCAAUAUAUUUUUGAAUUGUUUCAAGACUUUCUUUUGGUAGUUCUAGAGAAAGUUUGUUGUAUGAUCUUUCAAAGAUAGGAUAUUAAAUGCUUUUGCAAAAGGAUCUAAAAUGCCUUUGCAACUAAUUACACACUGUUGGAUUAAAUGGACCACUAUCCUGCUCUGUGACGAGAAGUCAUGCUAGGCCGAAUUACGUUCGAAAUGACGUGCAUGAGGCUAGGUUCGACCAAGUCAUGUUCGAAAUGGCGUAAGGCUGGUUAGGAUAAGUCACAAUCGAAACCUGUUUGCGAUGUGUCUGUACACUUUAAAUGAAUUUGUUGUGUAUUUCUAAUAGCUCGAGCUUUUCGGAUAAAACUCUAUACUUCUUACGUGAUUUUGUUCUCAUUGAAAAACUCCUCAACAAAAUCUCGUCAUUAUAUAUAGUUUAAUGAGCCUUGUCAUUCACCUCGCAUCCCGUGUUUCAAAAUUUAUUGCAAUUUAAAUUUUUUUAACCAAAAUUUAAUUAUACCAUAUCAGACAAACGUUUUAAAAAAAGCCCAGUAAUAAUGAAUAAAGUUAUACUCCUAUUAUAAUAGUUCUAAGCUAUUACAUCUAUUUAAUUAUACAGUUUGUGCCAUCCUGAUAACGUAAAUUAUACUACUACCACAAUAUUUACAGAAACGAUUUGCAAUAAAUUUUAUUUAUUGAAAAAAUAUUAUUAUUAUUGUAACAAUAUUUUUAUUAAAAAAAAAGUUCUAGCUAGUAAUGUCCAAAUUGAAAUAUAUAGGCAUUAAGUAUCUCGAUAUCAACGGCCUUUUUAGCACGCACUAAAUAUGGAAACGAAAAUAUUUUCCCUCUUCGACAUAAAUGCGAAAUCUAAGUAUUGGCAUGAGUCAUUUAUAACUAGAAACAGACAAUCACAAGGUAUUGUUGUGGCCAUUAAUUUACUCUCCUUGUUUACAACCACUGCUCAAUAAAUAUACCGCAUGCUCUCGCAGAGAGAAAAACGUAGAACAAGGCCGAGUUCUCCGUCCACCUGAUGAUGCUUUAAUUUGACCCCUUUUGCAUAAAUCUCGUUUAUGGAGCCACCCUAUUUAUUCACUUCAUUUCGACAUUAUAACAAAGCUCACCAACUCUAGCACACAAACCUAGACACAGAAAGUGUUGGCUUAAAUAGGCCAGCAUUCUGCCCUGUGGCGGAAGGCCGGGUUGGGUUGAGUCACGUUUGAAAUUGGCGUGAGUUUGGUGGGCCAAGUCAUAUUCGAAGUGGCGUGAGGCCAGAUGAGCCGAGUCGCAAUCGAAACCCGUGGGGGCGCAGCAUCUGUACACUUUAAGUGAAUUGGUAACGUAUUUCUAUCAGCUCGAUCUUUUGAGAUUAAUGGUUAGCACCAAUGAUCCGACAGAUAGAACAAAUCAAAAGCCUAGCUAGUUAGAUUACAAUAGCUAGUUUUAUAUAUUCUGAUCCUCCCAACUUUUAAAUUAAAUAAUAUUUCGUUAGGCAUCAAACCGCAUAAUUUUCUAAUCUUAUCAUUCUAUUUUAAUAUUAGUAAGAUUAUUUCUAAUACUAUUAAAUUUUAAUUUUUAAUAUAAGUAUACCUUUUUAUUAUUAAUUUAAUGUGACAAAUAUAUAAAAUUAAAUAUGGAGUAUAUUUAAUGUCCGAACUACGUAAAUAUUUAUAUUGUCUUUUUUUUUUAUUGCUUUUUCGAUCUUCUUUUGGCAUUUUCAAAGCAGAUCUUUUUUGUUCUAUAUAUUGUAAAAAAUUAGUAUAAGAACAAAUGUGGUAUCAGAAUAAGUUACAACUUCAUAACAUACUUAUAAUUAUAAAAAUUUUAAUAAGGCAUCAUCAUUGUGGAGAAAUUACUGCCUAAAUCUAAAGCAUGUACGACCAUAUAAUUUUUUUGCUGUAAUUAUAAAAAUUAAUUGUUCCACCAAAUGUAUAACAUAAAUGAAAGAUUUUUUUUUUUUUUGACACAAAGACAUCUAAUUAAAUGAACCAAUCAAACAAUAAUUUUAUUUUUUAAUUUAUCAAAAGAAUUUCGAAAUGUCAAACUAAAAAGUUCUCGCAAUCAAAAUAAAUUUGGUCUAAAAUGUUUAAGGACUACUAGUAUCGCAAUUUACCCAAACAAACAACAUAUACUAACCCUGAUUUAUUUUUGGAAUAUACAAUACACAUUCGCAAUAAUAAAGGGCCCCAUGCAUGCAAAAUUGGGUUAAUGUACAAGGGGGUUAGCACUAAAAAGUCCAAAAUAUGACGGUCAUAUAUAUCACUAACAUGGCAUCUCUAAUCUAUCUCAUCAUGAUUUUUAGAAAAAUAUUUUUAUUAUAUUUUAUUUUUCAAAAUAAUAUAUAUAUAUAUAUAUAUAUAUAUAUAUAAAAUCUAACUGAGCGGGACCCAUACUUUGAAGAGCUUUUCGCAAUGGUCGCGCGGUCAAACUUUGAAGUCAAAGAGGUGGUGGAGCGGGGUCGAAUGAUCGCUCAGCUCCGUCCAUUGCCGGUAAAUGUCGUUGGCGAUGUUGACGGCAUCGGAGGACGUGCCGAGGAGGCCGCGGCGGGUGAAGCCGACGCAGUACAGCCCCUUGUCCCCCUUCCAACCGCUGGGGAAGGGAGUCUUGGGGAUGCCCUCCUUUGUGAAGUGCUCGUCAGCAUCCUGAGUAUUUUCCGACAUUUUAGUACUAAAAUGCUCAUCAAAUUUAUAGACAAAAUGAUAAUUAUAAUAAAUAAAAAGUACUAAAACAACCAUAUAGGCGUAAAGAAAGAGCCGUAAAGCUAGUAACCAAAACACAUGUAUGUUAGAAAAGUGAGAGGACCAUGCAAUAAUAAUAUAGAAUGAUAUUAGCACAUUCAAAGUUUUUCCCUAUUGAAUAAGAUACAAUUAAUUUAUGUACCUUGUUGGAAAUAUUAAUCUGAGAGUAACAAAUAGAAGUUAUGUGGAAAUUAGUUUUCCAAUUAAAAAGAUCUAGAUUCACAUUGCCAGCUAAGUUUAUUUCUAAAUGAAAUAAACGAAACGGAAAGCGUGCUACCUAUCUCUAAAAAAAAAAAAAAGGAAAAAAAAAGAGUUGUUUGUUUCCCAACUGAAGCGGGGGAGCAAGUUGUUUGAUUAUUUAGUUAAUAGUACCUAUCUUAAUUAUCUUAAUUACUUAUGAAAAAUAACAAUAAAAUCUUGUCUGACAAACAGCAAAAAAAAAAAAAGAGUAAAGCUUUUGACUUUAAAUGCUGACUAAUAAACAACGGUUAGAAAACCGCUAUUAAAUAUAAAUCUUACAUGCUUUGCAUUCUACAGUUCGCAAAAACAUCUUUGGAUGAGUAGCAGGGUACAAAUCUUACACGCUGUUUAGUUUAAGGUUUGUAACAUUUCAAAAAAUAUUGUACAAUCUAUAUUUGGAAUAACGAAUUUGUUACUAACCGAACUUAUCAAGUUACUUUGAGUUGGAAGAUUAUUAAAAACUAGUAUAUUUUUAUAUGCUAAUACAUAUAUAGUAAUCUCUACCCAGAAAUCUAUAAUAAUUUGAUUACUUAACUAACACUUUAACAAUUAUCCAACUUAAGUUGAAUGAUAAUAAUUUUAAUAAAAAAUAAAAAAAAUUACUGAAUAUUAUUAACAACAAACCAAACGGGUCGCAUAGCUAUGACAAGAUAAUUUAGACAAAGUAUAUGUAAGAUACGGCUCUAAAUAACACAACGCUUCAGAACCGUCGAAUCAAGCCACAAACAAACUAUGGUCCCAUAUUGGGGUCUAACACUUUGGCUACACUAGGUGGUAGCUAGUCACAAGCCAAAGUCAUUCUUAGCCAUAAACUAAAGGGACCCACAUCUCCCUCUCCACAUUACUCAACCCAAAAAAGACCACCCACAUCUUAACUCAAAAAGAGACAAAACCUUUCCCCCCUUAACUUGUAUUUUUCUGUGGAAUUAAUAUAUCAAAAAACAGCCUAGGAAAGACUUAUACUGGAUAAGAAAGAAAUUUAGUAUAGCUCUCCAAAUUGUGUAUAGAAAUAUGUACACGAAAAACUCUAAUAAAGUAAACUAGAUUUAAGCAUUUUAAGCAAGUAGGCUUGGAUUUAACGAAUUACUAAUGUUUUUUUUUUUUUAGAGAUAGGUAGCACGCUAUCUGCUUCGUUUAUUUCAUUUAGAAAUAAACUUAGCUAGAAAUGUGAAUCAACUAAGAUUCGAACUUGGGACCUCGGGUACCAACGAGUAAGCUCUUUGCCACUUACUCUAGGAACGGUCGGUUAGCAGGCUGGAUUGUUACAUUUAAUAUCAAAAUCUAUUUAAUUAUCAGUAGAAAGUGCAACAUGAACCUCAUAUUAUCCAAUAAUUUUGAAAUAAAAAUAAGAUAUAAAAAAUAUAAAGACCAGAUACUUUAAUAAUAAUAACCAAACUUAGAAUGCUUAUAAUAGAAAAGGAUAAAGCUGUAGCAAGGGUCACGUUUAAUCACCUUGAGCCACGAGGGAACGUUACUCUUGUACCCCGUCGCCAGAAUGAUUGCGUCAUACUUCUCCUCUCUACCGUCCACGAACUUCGCCCCACCCUUCAUUAUCUCCUUCACUCCUCCCACCACCUUCGCAUCAAAAAAGCACGCAGAUGGUGACAAACUUACAAGUUGCCGUAAAGCAAUUAACCAAACACUACACAUUCCAUGUGAACUAUCUCACUACGUGUAUCUUGUUUUUAAAAAAAGGACAAAUGCCACUGACAAAUAACAAAAUGUAUGUUUAAUAUUGAGAAACAGAUUUAUUUAACCUGGUUGGUUUUGACCUACACGUCCCUAUCUUUCACUUUCCUUUUUAAACUCUUUUUCUAGGAAUAUUUACCUAUAAGGAUACUGUGGAUUAAUUAGCACAAGUAAUCCUACACUUGUGGUAAGGGACCAUGUUGCCAUACUACUAAAAGUUAGCCCCUUUUAGCAAAAAUAUAAUAAUAAUAUAUUAAUAAUAAUGCAACUCACGUAAAAUAAUCACAGAAAACAGUUGAUGUGAUGGCUACUUCAAUGAGUCAAUUCCAUCAACAUCUUAGGAUAGAGGGUGACGUCAUAGAGAGCAUGCAUAGGANCGUGGCGUGAUAUCUGGAGAAAGCUACAGUUGUUGACUUGUUGUUGAUUUGAUUUAGGAAAUAUAAAAGGAGAGAAAAAAAAAAAAUCAGAAUCUAGCUAGCUAUAUUGUUGAUAUCACCAACUAAUUAGAAUGUUCCAUUUAAGUUUAUUCGUCUCUUUAUAAUUAUUAAAAAUAUUUUUAUAUAUUUUUUAUUUAGAAAUAAAAUAUGUCUGGUUAUUACUAUUACUAAAUAAUAUAGUGUGACCGAUACAUAACAUAAUUUUUGCGUACAUAAAUAAAUUUUAUAGAUAUACAGAGCGAGAGGGAAAUUGAGUCUGACAAGAAGCCACACCGUUAUGUUUCCGGAUUUGAUUUGGUCGAGGGCACCAACAUCGAGGACCGGGGUCUUGCCGGUUAGGUUCUUGAGCUCGAUGGGUCCGGUCUUGGGCCGGCGCAGGCCGAGGCGGCCGGUGUCACCCAGGAUCAUGUGGGCGGCUGCCAGGAGCAGCCUGUCCACCACCCGCACCGGCAGCCACUUCAGCAGCGCCAUCGCCACCCCGAACGUCGACAUCCCCAGCAUCUCCCUCGGAAGCACAUGCACCUGCCAACGGAAACUCCGUUACUUACGUAGAUCACUUUCUUUAACGAAACUCACAGCUCACGUGCAUGACAGAUAUUAUCGGACAGAAAUUUACGUUGUUGGAUACCAAACGUAUAUGAAAAUUAAAGUCAAGAUCUCUUAAGACUAGUUUGGCAUUGUUGCCGCGAAAUGCGUUCAUUUUAGUACUUUUAAAUAUUUUUUAAUUUUUUUUUCUGCAAUGCUAUAAAAUAAUAAUAAUUGAAGAAGCAAUUCAGGGGAUGUUUUGUAAUUCCCCCCGAAUAAAAAAAAGCUCCAAAAUGCUUCUGAAUUUGCAACUCCUCCUCCUCGAGCACUCGUCCACCCACCACCACCGCUGCCCGCUCUUGCGGCUCGGGCACCCGCGCCUCCACUAGUCGCCCUAGCUCGCGAAGCGCCCCGCGCAGCAGGUGUGCUCGCGCAUGUUUUGGCCGCGGCUCAAGUCGCCGGUUUUCCACAACCACCACCCCACGCCGUUGAGGCCAUACCUCCACUCGAACCUGGAUACAGCUGUGUUACGGUUCGGGAGGUACCAGCAGGCUUUGAGCCAAACAGCUAUAAUUGUAAGUGAGGAACUUAAGAUUCCAAAUAUAUAUAUAUAUAUAUAUAUAUNAAAUAAUAAUAAUUGAAGAAGCAAUUCAGGGGAUGUUUUGUAAUUCCCCCCGAAUAAAAAAAAGCUCCAAAAUGCUUCUGAAUUUGCAACUAUAUAUAUAUAUAUAUAUAUAUAAACCUUAGAAUUCAAGGAGUGAAUGUUAAUAUCGACAAACCGAGUUUCGGACGACCAUGGAGGGCUUGGCAUUGUGUCGACAUAGGUCCAAGCUCACCUCCAUACCGGAGUUGCCGCACCCCACCACCAACACCUUUUGGCCGCUGAACUCGGCGCCGGUUUUGUACGCGCUCGUGUGGACGACGCGCCCCGCGAAGCGCUCGAUCCCGCUGAUCACCUCCGCGCCCACGGGCUCGGCGUUCUCGCCCGUCGCCACCACCACCCACCUGCUCACGAGCUCCUCCUCCUCCUCCUCCGCCCCCGGCCCCGGCCCCGCGGCGGCGAGGCGCGUCGUCACGCGCCACGCGCCCGCGGCGGCGUCGCGCUCGGCGCGCACCACCUCGGCGCCGAAGCGCGGGGCGAUCCCGAAGGCGGCGGCAUAGGACUCCAUGUAGGCGACGAACUGGUGCUUGGUGGGGUACUUGGGGAAGCCCGCGGGGAAGCCCAUGAGCGGGAGCUCGCAGAAGCGCUUCGGGAGGUGGAGCUUCAGGCGGUCGUAGGUGCGGUGGCGCCACAGCGACGCGACGCAGCUCGACUUCUCGAGCACCGUCGAGGGGACGCCGAGCUCCGCGAGGCACGCCGCUGCGGCGAGCCCCGAGGGCCCCGCGCCGAUUAUGAUAGGCCCCGGGACCCAAACGCGCUUUUGCGAGGAGCCCAUGUGGUGUGGGGAAGCGCUUCUGCUCUCUUCGUCUCACUCUCUCUCUCUCUCUCUCUCUCUCUCCCCUCUGUUUUGGGUGUUCUGUUUUUGAAACGGGGGCGCUGUUACCACCUGUUUGUUCUCGGGCUUCCUUUUUCACUGUGCGAGGGUUUAUAGGAGUGAGGAGGGGGGUGGGUUUUGGAACUUGGAGUGUUGUGUGGUGUUGUGGCGUAGGAUGGAGGGGGUUUUCACUUGCAGAGGAUGAGCAGAUGCGAGUGUAUGAAGCGUAAGGACUAAGGCAAGGAUUUGGUCCACUCUAUGGUCUAUACAAGCAUUGUUUUAACCUCUGAGACUUGCACCACGCACAGUGAGAAAAGAGAGAGAGAGAGAGAGAGAGAGAGAGAGAGUGAGGGGGGAACAUUAAUUCAUGCGUGCUCCCGGUCCACCAUGCACCUCAUAAUGUGUACUUUUUUGCAGGUUUAAACCUCUACAUUUCUAUUAACUUAAAUUGAAUUUAAUCUCUUUUGAACUUAGAUAAAUGCACUAAAUUAGUCAUUUUCAUCACUUGAAAUGUUAAGUUCGUUAGAUGUAGAUGACGUGGUCGGCAUGUCGGUGUUUGCCCGCAGAAAACUUGGCACGAUCAUCCAAAAAGAUUAUCUAGCGCUAAACCAAACCUUAACAUGUAACUUAACACACAGUGUAAAUGUUACGCGUAAUUUUUUACUUCAAACUUUAGUUUCAGAUCAUCACCUGACAUGUAACAUUUUAAUUGAAUAGUUAUGCAAUUCAUGAAAAUAAGAAGUGCGAAAUACUGACCAUCCAUAGCACACAUAAUAAAGGAUUUAAUAAUUGAUACUUAAUAUUCUAAAUUUGAAAUCUAAUUAUUCCAUAUUUUCAGUGAGUGCAGUAUAUCUAUAAUCUAUAAACUUAAAUGAAAGCACAAUAUUUCUUGCCACGUGGCAAGUCACCCUUCAUCCCUUCAUCCUCAUAAAUAAAUACAUAAAUAAAUAAAUGAAACCAUUUCCUCUAUCUAAAUAUCAAAUUAACAAAAUAACACACCUGGUACUAACUAACUCUCCCUAUUUAUCCGCUAAUUGAUUUUAUUACUAAUAAUAUGGACGAUGUAGAUUCAUUAAACCACAAAGCAAUAGCGACAUUAAUCCCCAAUUUAAUGUCUAAUUAAUGCGUCCACCCAAUUUAAUCCUAUCUAAACCGUAAACCUAAAAUCCCAUCCAAAAGGUCCAACCCUUUGCAUUCCCUCCGCAAAAGCCUAAUAUAAUCGUAAACCAUAAAAACUCACGCAAAAGCCCCAUUCUCUCUUAUGCAUGUCAUGAAAAUGAAAGCCUACUUUGUUUCUUAUAAUAAAUUACAAUUUCCUUCAUUUAGCAA